UUUUUUUUUUAAAAACCUGAAUCUUCUCGUAAAAAAGAAGAUAUAUUAUAUCUAAUCUCAGCGGAGGACAAAGACAUCGGGAGGAGGAAGGGAUCGAAUCUGGGCGGGAGGCACCAAAGCCAUGACUAUUGUGGAGCCAAAAAUAAUCAUAAGGUGACAUGUGGAUUUUUGGGUAAAAUGACAAAAAUACCCUUGAGGUGUACCAAGUUUCUACGCGCGAGCAGUAGACAAUCAUCCUCAACCAAGUCAAAAAUGCUCCAAAAAAGGUAACCAAUUCCAAAUUAUCUCAUCCAUCCUCAUUUUAGGUAAUUACUUCAUAACCUAUAAAUUGUUCCAUAUAAAUAGAGAUUAAUUGGCUAAUUAAUGAAUUAAUUCCUAAAUUCAUUAAUCAACCAAUUAAAUCACCAAUCAUACCCAAAAAAUACCUCUUUUGGCUGGUUACCCACUCCCCCAAAGGAACCGACCAUCUCCUUUUAUUUCCUACCUUUUCUACCAUAUCUUUCCUUUUUAUGAUAAUAAUUAGCUAAGAUAAAUAGGGAAUUAUUAGCUAAUUAUUUCAUAAAAUCCCAAUUACCACAAAAUAUCCCCAAAUAUGCACUAAAUGGCCAGCCAUCUAUUGCUAGAAAACGAAUUGGCCAUACUUUGCUUAUUCAUCCCAUUAAUUAGCUAAUUCAUUUGGUAAUAAUCCUUUUGCCUAUUUAAUUAGUCAAUUAAUCACAUAACUCCCAAAAUCAUAUUAAAUCAAGAACCCUAUCCCUAUAAAUAGACUCCUAUUUUCACCAAAAACGAAGGCCAACACUUUGGCAAUAAUCCCAAAAUUCUCUAAACACUCUUUCUCUCUAAAUUCUAACUUUGGCAUCGGAGGGUCUUCGGCCAAAGCCCCCCCAUUGAUCGUGGGCGCGUGAGGCUCUUGGCCUUAACCUAAGGUGUUAAUUGUUUUGUAGGUGAAAAAUUGUCUAAGAUCAAGGAGGAAGAAAUUUGCAUCCACAAAUUGGUGCUUUCAUUGAGAGUUGAAAUCCAUACUCGUAGAAGACUCUCGCACAAAAAGGUUUUUUCUUUAUUUUUUAGUCCAUUUGAAUAUUUUUUUAUACGUUCUUAUUAUUAGAAUUUUUUUACUUGCAAAGGUUCUUUGAUAAAACGUAUAAGCAAAAUAUAAUGGCUAGAAAUAUAGAAAAUUCCACAAGUGAAAAUUCUAAUAAUCAAGAAAUGGGAUUUCGGAGAUCCGUAAGGCUAAAUGCGACAAUAAAUGGAGUGGCACCACCACCACGAGUUUCCACCAUGGGAACCACCACGGUGGCGAGGUCCAUGGUGCCUUCACCACGGCCCGAGUCGUGCCAUCUAAGGCUCACGGCACCAAGGCCACGACCCAAGCCAUGUCACUCCAAGCCCAACGCGUUGCCAAGCCAAGCCCAAGUCUCGCACCUAUGUGUAUCACACUCCGAGCAGCUUGCUCCCACCGAGCAGCCCACUCUCGCGGCCCAACCUGCUCUUGUGGCCCAGCCUGCUCCCGACGAGUAGCCCACUCCCGUGGUCCAGCAUGCUCAUGCCGAGCAGCCCACUCUCAUAGCCCAGCCUGCUCUCAUGGCCCAACCUGCUCUCGUGGCCCAGCCUGCUCUCGUGGUCCAGCCUACUCCCGUCGAGCAGCCCACUCUCGCAGCCUAGCCUGCUAUCAUGGCCCAGCCUGCUCCCACGGCCCAGUCUGCUCCCGUGGAUUUCCAAGCAGCCCAAGUUGGCCCAAGACUAUCUCAACUAUCCGGACCUACCAUCGAGCCGGGGGCAUUCUCACCACAUUUUUUUGCGGAUUUGACAUUUCCCAACUCAAAUCUCUCGCCCGGAGUCUACCACCCUUCCACUGCCCAAGGAGGCGCAUUCCUUCAAAGCUCUUCCAAUCCAAAUGGCGAACAACACUUGUCUCGACAAGUCAUAGAGUUGACGAGUGCCCUUGCACAACAGACGACCUUGGUGAAUCAACUUUUGCAACGCAUCGGGAUCCAACGUGCCCCAGACGAGGUAUCCCGAAGUAGGACAAGGGCAGACUAACCUUUCCAGCAGCGUCCUGGCAAGCAGCCACUCGACCAGCCAUGAGCCGAGCGUUCGGGCAGUGUACAUUCCCGAUUGGGCCCCCGAGAUAGUGUAUACUCCCGUCUUAGCGCGUGGAGGAGCGUGCACUCUCGACUAGGCCCACGGAUGAGCAUACAUUCAUGGUUGGGGUCACACUCCGAUAGUCAACAUGAGCAACCUUCCGGGCAAAGUGUUCAUUCACGGCUAAGCCCGCAAGGAGCAUCCUCCACCUCACAUCGGAGUAGGCAGCACGACGGACGAAGAGAAGCAGUCACUCAAUCCAGCUUAAGUUCAACCAGCAGUCUGUGAAGAACUCGCUCGCCUACUAGAAACGCACCACAUGCACUGCAUCCGUGGUAUAGAUGAGCCAAACACAUGGAAGAGUAGCCUAGACCAGCAAGUCAUGGCUGGGGGCAGCCGAGAGCUCCGCUACCUCAACAAAGGCAAAUUCAGGAAGAAGUAGAGAGACUCUUGACCAAACGAUUGCAUGAUUUCCAACGCAACGAGGUCACCGACGAGGCACUACAACGGAACAUGACCAACAUAAGUAGGUUACCCUUCACGGACGAGAUCAAGCAGGCAAAGCCUCCACGCGAGUUUAACAUGUGACAUUUCACAUCUUUCAAAGGGGAUGAAGACCCGGAUAGACACUUAAAGCGCUACUGAAACGCAAUGAUCCUUUAUCGAAACAACAAUGAUCUCAUGUGCAAGAUAUUCGCCACCACUCUACAAAGCGAGGCGCAAGAUUGGUUUUACACCCUGCCACCACAAUCCUUCCGAAAUUUCUACGAACUUUUUUUGUUUUCACCAAAGAAUAUUCAUCUUAUUGCUCGAUAAAAAAGAAGUCUGGCCAUUUGUUCGACGUCAAGAAGAAUCUAAAGGAGUCGCUUCGUAACUAUGUAAGGAGGUUCAAAGUAAAGAAGGCAAAAAUAAUCGGAUGCAACGAUUCAAUAGCUAGAGCAGCCUUCCAAAAAGGACUUCCAGCUGACCACCCACAACAACAACAACAACAACAACAAAGCCUUUUCCCACUAAGUGGGGUCGGCUAUAUGAAUCCUAGAACGCCAUUGCGCUCGGUUUUGUGUCAUGUCCUCCGUUCGAUCCAAGUACUCUAAGUCUUUUCUUAGAGUCUCUUCUAAAGUUUUCCUAGGUCUUCCUCUACCCCUUCGGCCCUGAACCUCUGUCCCGUAGUCACAUCUUCGAACCGGAGCGUCAGUCGGCCUUCUUUGCCCAUGUCCAAAUCACCGGAACCGAUUUUCUCUCAUCUUUCCUUCAAUUUCGGCUACUCCUACUUUACCUCGGAUAUCCUCAUGCCCAAUCUUAUCCUUUCUCUCGUGUGCCCACACAUCCCACGAAGCAUCCUCAUCUCCGCUACACCCAUUUUGUGUACGUGUUGAUGCUUCACCGUCCAACAUUCUGUGCCAUACAACAUCGUUGGCCUUAUUGUCGUCCUAUAAAAUUUUCCCUUGAGCUUCAGUGGCCUACGACGGUCACAUAACACGCCGGAUGCACUCUUACACUUCAUCCGUCCAGGUCGUAUUCUAUGGUUGAAAUCUCCAUCUAAUUCUCCGUUCUCUUGCAAGAUAGAUCCUAGGCAGCAAAAAACGGUCGCUUUUUGUGAUCUUCGCUAGAUUUGCUCCGGUCAUUAGUGUGGAUAAGUAUAUAAAUGAAUAGAGAUAGGAAAGCAAACACAAGAUGUACGUGGUUCACCCAGAUUGGCUACGUCCACGGAAUAGAAAGAGUUCUCAUUAAUUGUGAAGGGUUUACACAAGUACAUAGGUUCAAGCUCUCCUUUAGUGAGUACAAGUGAAUGAUUUAGUACAAAUGACAUUAGGAAAUAUUGUGGGAGAAUGAUCUCGUAACCACGAAACUUCUAAGUACCGGAGUGUGGUAUCGUCUUGACUUGCCUUAUCUGUCUCAUAGGUAGAUGUGGCAUCUUCUCUCUCUGGAAGUACUCUUCCUCCAUCCAGGGGUGGUAUCUGUAACUGGUGGAGAUGCACAAGGUAAUGUAUCAAUUUCACUUGAAGCUUACUUGUAGUUUCAGGCUUGGUCAAGCGCGAUACAAACCAUGUAGUAGGAGUCCCCCAAGUCGCCGGGCUAGGGGAUCUGCUGAAAGAGGUGACAGACAAGGUAAGCAAUCAGAGCUCCGGCUGAUUGUUCACCUUCUCCCCAUCUUGCAGCAGCAUGAAGGAUAAAGAGAAGAAAGAUGAGAAGAGAUGAUAUGGGAUACUUUUGCUUUUGAAGAAGUAACUUUCCACAGGCUUAUUCUUGAACUGAGCUGGAGGGUUUUCUGGUUUUCCUCCAGAGCCGACUGAAGAAUUUGAGGGUCAAAACAAGUCCAUCAAAUCUAGAGUACGUUCGACCCUGCUGAUAUGGGAUACUUUUGCUUUUGACAGAGUAAUGGAUGUAUCGGCACGUGUGCUGUUACGCUUGUCUCCACAUGCUUCCUUGUAUCCUUCGCACUUGCCCUAUCUGUUCCUCAAGCAGAUGCGGUAUCUUCCCUGGAAACAUAAGAUGUUGAAGAUGAGUACUCGAGAGCAAUGCCAGGUAAGUAAUCAGGUAAGGGGUUCCAGGCAGUCAGUUCCUGGCUGGAAGCUUGAUUCCAAGUGCUGACUGAUUGCUCUCUUUCUCCUUGUCUUGCAGGUAACAAACAAGGCCAAAGGAAAAGACAGGGAAAAAGCAUGAUAUGGGAUACUCUUGCUUUUAACCCUGAUGAUAUGAGAUAUUCUUGCUCUAGUAUAGCUUGUUUGCAAAGGUAUUAUCGGGGGGAAAGAAAGCUGAAUAUUUCGAAAGGCUUCGUUGGGAGUGCCCUCUCAAAUAUGAGGAAGGGUUGAACAUUUUUGCAGGUCUGCCUGUCCGUUGGGGAUGGAGGUCGACAUAUAUAGGAGUCUCCCUAACAACAAGUAGUAAUGCUAUUCCUUUACCCUGCUUGGUCAUAGCACGGUAGUGGGAGCUGCCAGCUUCACAUGUUUUAACUCUGUCAGAGCACUUUGAAAAAGUGGUCUGUGCUCUCGAGAAGUCUUCGACAGAAUGCCUAUAAUUUCCGCAAGGUGAUCGGAUGAUAUUUAUAUAUAUUUUUACUUUGAAUUCACUCGUCUUUUCUUAGUUAGUUCCUUAUAUUUUUGAGCUAUUUACGUUAUUUUUGUGUUUAUAGGAUUUGUUAUGCAAAGAAAAUAAAAAUAGAACAAGUGAAAUUUUAUGUAAUAAAUUCGUCAAAACUGUCUGUGUAGAUCAGCUUUUAAAUUAAAUUAAAAAUUAUAUUUAAUAAUGAUAAGUCGUGAUGAUGUUUGAAACAUCAUCAUGAUGGUUUUGUUUUGUAGAAAAAAAAAAAAGAAAGAAAACGGUGGAAAGAAAGAGUUGGACAAAGAAAGGAAAGAAUCCAAGGCAAAAGAGGAGUAGAUGCGGGGAGGACUGGAAAACAGAGAAAGCAAACGGGACAGCCAAGAGAAGUGGGGAUGGCAAAAUAAAAGAAUAAUAAAAUAAAGAAAAAGGACUGUCAGAUGGAAGGAGGGAAGAGGAUUGGGAGCUGCCUUUGACAGCUAAGAGGUCAGCCGCUGGGUCCAGCUCUCGCCACUUGCGACGAGCCCCAUGAUUCUUUUCUUGGAUCCAGAGGAUGUGAAAAGUAAAGCUUGAGGAGAGAGCUGAGCAGGGGGGCAGCGUGAGACAAAGAGGAAAAUAAAAUAAGAGCUGCGGGGAGGAAAAAAGGGGAGAGUCCGGAGGAAAGCUGCCAUUUGGCAGCUUGAGCAGGGGGAGAGCAGAAACCUGCUUUUGGGCUGGCGUGAUUAAGGGGGUCGGGGGAGCGGAAGAAAGGGGCUGCCCUUUGGGCAGCUCGCAGGAACGUGCAGGGCGUGACAGGAAAGGUGAGGCAAGCAAGGGAGAUAGGCAGAGAGAAGGGGAGAGGCGCAGGAAGAGUGGGAAGAGAAGAGACUGGCAGCGUGCAGGGGAAGAGAAGACGGGACAGCAGAAAAAGCACAAAGGCUUGCCAGCGCAGAAACGCAGGGAGAGGGAAGUCAGGGAGUGAAGAAAGCUGCAAGCUGUUCUCUCUCUCGGUUUAAACUUUUCAAACUUCUAUUUUAUUUCUGUUUAAUAAUGUGUAAUUAAUUUUAUUUUGGCUAGAGGUUAAUUCGAAACCAUGAAUAUAUUUGUAAUAUGAAUUGAUUACCUUCGGUUGUGAUUUCAUAAGUUGUGUUUUCAAUUUACUUAUCCGUUCGUAUAAAAACUGAUUUGUGUAUGUUGGUUGAGAGUGCACGCUUAAUUUACAUGCAUGAAUUUGAUGCUAGAAUAUAAGUGAAUUUCACCUAAUCGUUAUGAACUUAUUUUCACAAGUAGUAAAGGUUGCUAGUCACAAUCACGUUAAGUAAAUUCUUGGCAAGAGUAUCAUGCUUUUCAUAGUUACGAAUGUCUCGUCAAUGCUUAUAGUUUUCACAAAGUUUAAUGAUCUUUGAUUGUAUCGCUAUUGUGCUUUUCACGUAGGGGACUUUUGAAGAAUGUUUUGAAUUGUUGUAUGCGUUUUUCCGUCCAAUUCAAUAACUUAAGGAAAACUUGAAGAUUAAAAAAGUGCUGUUCACGGUUAAUCUGGAGUAUUGAGAUUCACAAUUUAUUGAAAGAACAACUGAAAAUCAAUUUAGGUUGCAUAUGUGUCAUGUGUGGAGAAGAACCCUCUAGCUAGUCCGUCAUUUAUCUUUUCAUUUUAAUUUCAUGUUUUUGUAAAUUCUGUAAUUUAUUUAAGUUUAAUUUACUUUUCAUCAAAAUCAAACCCUCCCAUUAUUAAAUUAUUUUAUUUAGUUAGUUUUCAUUGUUUUUAGUCUUUUAAUUCAAUUUCCGUCCAUUUCAGUUCCUAGUGUUUAAUUUAAUUGUUUUCAUUAUUUUGAGUCAUUUUAAGUGUGUUUCGAGUUAUUAGAGUUUUUAGCCUAAUUUUAUGUCCUUGAGUCUUAUUUAAUAUUUUUAAAUUAAUUUAGAAUAGAUUAGCAAUCCCUCCUAAUCCCCGGCCUAGAACGAUACCCUACUUACAUCUAUACUACAAUUGUCAAAAAGAGGGUUUAAUUUGUGUGUCAAGUAAUUCUCGCAUCACAAAGCUGAGUGUGCGUGUGACAGGUGCUGACAAGGCUAGAAAAGUAGGUGCCUCUUCGAUUUCUGAGAUCGGCCCUCGUGGUCUCUGAGCAGCCCAGCUUUUGAGAAAGCGAGCGUCUCUUCGAUUGAUUCGGAGAACGAUGCAUCUUCGAUUUUUAAGAAAGCAAUCAUGAUGGGGGUCUGGCUCUCGAGAUUCGGGGAGCAAUGUCACUUCGAUUUUUGAGAAAGUAAUCAUGUUGGGAGUCUGGCUCUCGAGAUUCGGAGGGCGGUGCCUCUUCGAUUUUGGAGCAAGCAAUCUUGUUGGGAGUGUUUUCUCGAAUGUGAGUAAAGGUUGGGCAUGUUUGCUAGUCUACCUUGCCACGAAGCACAGAGGUUGACACACAGGGAUUUUCCAAUUAUCCAGCAAUGGUACUGUUCCUUUACCCUCUCUUCGAUUUUUGAGAAAGUAGUCAUGUUGGGAGUCUGGCUCUCGAGAUUCGGAGGACGGUGCCUCUUCGAUUUUGGAGCAAGCAAUCUUAUUGGUAGUGUUUUCUCGAGUGUGAGUAAAGGUUGGGCAUGUUUACUAGUCUACCUUGCCACGAAGCACAGAGGUUGACACACAGGGACUUUCCAAUUAUCCAGCAGUGGUACUGUUCCUUUACCCUUGUGGGUAAUAAUAUGGUAGCUAGACCUUCAAAAUUUAUGGGUCUAAACUUUGUUAGUGCUGUUUCUUUGCUAUUCUUUUACCUUUCUUGGUCAGAGCGAUGUAGUGGGAGCUGCAAGCUUUACGUGCUCAAUUUUGGAAGAGAACUUUGGCAAAGUUAUCUGUGGUACCCAUGAGCUAGUGUUGCGUGUGGGAAGUGGGUGAUUGAACAGUAAGAUUCAUGUGUUUUCUACUUCCUCAGAAGUCUUCGACAGAAUGGCCAUAAUUUCCGCAAAGCUGAGUGUGCGUGUGACAGGUGCUAACAAGGCUGGAAAAGUAGGUGCCUCUUCGAUUUCUGAGAUCGGCCCUCGUGGUCUCUGAGGAGCCCAGCUUUUGAGAAAGCGAGCGCCUCUUCGAUUUCUGAGAUCGGCCUUCGUGGUCUUUGAGCAGCCUAACUUUUGAGAAAGCAAACGCCUCUUCGAUUUCUGAGAUCAACCCUCGUGGUCUCUAAGCAGCCCAGCUUUUGAGAAAGCAAACGCCUCUUCGAUUUCUGAGCAGGCGCCUCUUCGAUCUCUGAAGAUCCGUCGAGUGCAGAUUUUUAUAAGGGCUGGCAUUAAGUUCCAAAGCACACUUGAAUCUCCACCAGUAGAAGCUCCAUUCUUGCACUUCUAAGAUCUUGAUUUGUCCAACCUCUUCUCUCUUCAACACCUUUGAAAAUGUCUGGCCCCUCCGACCGUCGUUUUGACUUGAACCUUGUUGAAGAGGCAGCCCCGCCUUCUCCAGACAACAUAUGGCGCCCAUCCUUCGUCUCCCCUACUGGUCCUCUUACCGUUGGGGAUUCCGUGAUGAAGAAUGAUAUGACUGCUGCGGUGGUGGCCAGGAACCUUCUCACUCCCAAAGAUAACAGACUACUUUCCAAACGGUCUGAUGAGUUAGCUGUUAAGGAUUCGCUGGCUCUCAGUGUUCAGUGUGCAGGUUCUGUGUCUAAUAUGGCCCAACGCCUAUUUGCUCGAACCCGCCAAGUUGAAUCAUUGGCGGCUGAGGUGAUGAGUCUCAAACAGGAGAUUAGAGGGCUCAAGCAUGAGAAUAAACAGUUGCACCGGCUCGCACAUGACUAUGCUACAAACAUGAAGAGGAAGCUUGACCAGAUGAAGGAAACUGAUGGUCAGGUUUUACUUGAUCAUCAGAGAUUUGUGGGUUUGUUCCAAAGGCAUUUAUUGCCUUCGUCUUCUGGGGCUGUACCGCGUAAUGAAGCUCCAAAUAAUCAACCUCUGAUGCCUCCUCCUUCUAGGGUUCUGUCCAGUACUGAGGUUCCGAAUGAUCCCCUUCCGGUGCCUUCUCUUUCUGGGGCUCUACCGACUGCUGAGACUUCUCCUAAGCAACCCUUGUGAAGGCUCCCUCUUGUUUGUUUAUUUUGACUCAUGUAUAUGUACACAUUUGUAGCUUAUCGGGGAUAUCAAUAAAUAAGUUUUCCUUCAUUUCAACGUAUUGUGUUAAAUACACCAAAACCUUCUUCGCUAAGUUCUUUGAAUUUUCUUUUGUUGAAGCUUGUAUGUUGAAGCUUUCUGAGUGGAGCAUGUAGGUUGGGGUAGUGUUCCUUUAAUUUCCCGAGUGAGGAAAACUUCUCGAUUGGAGACUUGGAAAAUCCAAGUCACUGAGUGGGAUCGGCUAUAUGAAUCUUAGAACGCCAUUGUGCUCGGUCCUGUGUCAUGUCCUUCGUUAGAUCCAAGUACUCUAAGUCUUUUCUUAGAGUCUCUUCCAAAGUUUUCCUAGGUCUUCCUCUACCCCUUCGGCCCUGAACCUCUGUCCCAUAGUCGCAUCUUCUAAUCGGAGCGUCAGUAGGCCUUCGUUGCACAUGUCCAAACCACCGUAACCGAUUUUCUCUCAUCUUGCCUUCAAUUUCGGCUACUCCUACUUUACCCCGGAUAUCCUCAUUCUUAAUCUUAUCCUUUCUCGUGUGCCCACACAUCCAACGAAGCAUCCUCAUCUCCGCUACACCCAUUUUGUGUAUGUGUUGAUGCUUCACCGCCCAACAUUCUAUGCCAUACAGCAUCGCUGGCCUUAUUGCCGUCCUAUAAAAUUUUCCCUUGAGCUUCAGUGGCAUACGGCGGUCACACAACACGCGCCGGAUGCACUCUUCCACUUCAUCCAUCCAGCUUGUAUUCUAUGGUUGAGAUCUCCAUCUAAUUCUCCGUUCUUUUGCAAGAUAGAUCCUAGGUAACGAAAACGGUCGCUCUUUGGUAUUUCUUGAUCUCCGAUCCUCACCCCUAACUCGUUUUGGCCUCCAUUUGCACUGAACUUGCACUCCAUAUAUUCUGUCUUUGAUCGGCUUAGGCGAAGACCUUUAGAUUCCAACACUUCUCUCCAAAGGUUAAGCUUUGCAUUUACCCCUUCCUGAGUUUCAUCUAUCAACACUAUAUCGUCUGCGAAAAGCAUACACCAAGGAAUAUCAUCUUGAAUAUGUCCUGUUAACUCAUCCAUUACCAACGCAAAAAGGUAAUACUCUUUCGCUCUGGCAGAGAAGCAUGCACUUUGGGACGAAGUUCGCCGAUGCCCAUUUAAGGAAAAUCCAAGCAAUCUUGAAUAUGAAGUUCCCCACUACUCUAAAGGAGAUUCAAAGUCUGACUGGAUGAGUAGUCGCAUUUGAAGCAUAAAUAAGCUCUACCAUCAUACAAGAAGAGCUGGGGGCCCGACUACCUAUAUUCCAGUUUAAAAGCUCUCCUCGAUGUUAUCAGUUGUAUUCCACAGUUUAAAAGCUCUCAUUGAUGUUAUCAGAAAUUCAAAAGCUAACUUUAGCGAUAGUUGUUGUAACCUAAAAGCUUAAGUUUUACCCUCAAACGCACGCAGUCAUCAUCAUGAUGCACUAUUCCACCGAAUCCUGACGAACGCAACAACUAGGCCCAAAAGACAUGCCAAGGGUAGACGAACACUGGAAGGAACAUUUAAAAGCAAGUUUUUUCCUCGUCGCCCCAGAAGAUUCUACAUAAAAGCAACAUGUACCGACAGUUGAGCACUACCUCCUGCUACGCGUGACACGGCCCUAGCCAACCUUUGCUCCAUUAUUCAGCUCUAGAGUGGUCCAAUACCGAAAAUUGAGCAUUUCCUGCUACAUGUAACAUGGCCCCAGCCCCACGGCUCCGUACCACGCAUUCACACCUAGCCUUGACAACACAACAGAGUGGCCCAAUUGCUCCCCGAAGGCAGCCGAGCACACUUUAGCAGCACCUGCUCCCUCAAUGGAGAUUUCUGGCAUUUGCAUGUCAAUGACGUAAUACCUAAAGAAAGUACGCAAGCAGCUUGAGGCAUUUCAGACUUAAACUCUCACUCAAGUUCCCCGGGCAGACAAUGCCCAUGCAAACGUACUAGUCGGCCUAGGCUCCGCACUCGAUCACCAACUCAAAACGCUCUAUUCUGGUGGAAUAUCUUGACAAGCCAAGCAUAGAGAUGGAGCCAACAACCCAAGUGUCAUAGCAUUUUCAUCCAAAGAUCCCACACCGGAUCACAUAUCCGCUGCCUAGCGCCUCCCGACAACUUGAAAGUUCUAAGAUCAAAUCCACGAAGGUGUAUAUGGAAACCACUUUGGAGGCCAAUCCUUAGUAUAGAAGGCUCUUAACGCAGGCUACUAUUGGCCUACCAUGCACCAAGAUGCUAAGGAGUUAGUACAAAAGUGCCUUAAGAAUAUGGCAUCUAGUAGCACAUGUCCACACCGAGAUAUCCACAAGGCAAUGGGUAGGCCGGAGUAUCCAACAAGACGAUCCUCGACUGCCUCAAGAAAUCCCUGACCAAUAAGAAAGGAAAAUGGCUAAACGAACUCUUCGGUUGUCUAUGGGCAUAUCGCACCACCAAAAGACGAACAACCGAAUGGUAAGGAGAUGACCACAAGUUUAGAUCUGGCAGAGGAGAAGCGUGAGUAGACCAUCACUUGAAUAGUAACCUACCAGCAGCAACUCCUCCCCAGCUACAACAAAACCCGAAGACUCAAGAAGCUCGACGGGUACCACCUCACAAGCCGAGGAUUAUCCAGUUGUUAUGCAGUUCCUACCUUACAGCUAAGUUCUUGUUCGUUUCACUCAUUUUUUUAAUGAGGAAUUCAUAAGUAAUCACAACUUGGCUCGGCUACAUGCUUACAACAACUGAUCACUCCUGCACUUCAAAAGAAGACUGCGCCCUACUUAGGGACUCAUCGCAGGAAUUGCGCCCCCCGAGGGACCAACCAUGCUCUCCAGUGUGAGAGGGUAAACUAAUUGCUCUCCAGUGCAAAAGGGUAAACCAAUUCCCCGACACCCAUAUAGGUCAGCUCUCCAAGACGGGAGGAUAAACUUUACACUCCGAAUAUCCAGACGUGGAUGAGCCUGGCUGCCCUAGUAUAACUAGAUGCACGAUGGCUUGCGCCGGGAUUCCUAGAAGUAGCUACAAUGGUUUUUUUCAAGGCUUAGCUAACUGAAGGAUUUUGGGUCUCUUGGCCUAAUCCGUAGGGAACCGGACCCCAGAGACGGAGAGGACGCAUUAUGUAGUACGCCUUACAGACGGCUGCCCUGGAACCCUAAAGUUGCUACCGAGUACGCUAAGGUAGCCUACGGAUUCUGGAAGACUGCCUACGGCUUGCCCUUCGAGCAAUAAAACUGCGCUAGACUUAUAUAACCUCACAUUCUUGUGAAAGGUUAAACAAGCUAGCGCACAUAUACGAAAUUUUAUCCACUGCCGACAUGCUAUGUAGUCGAUAAGCUUCACCUCUGCCAAGCGCGGAACAACCUACACCAAGUCCUAAAGUGUUGUGAUACUUGCUACGCAACCUACGGAAUUGGAGAAAGCCAAGGUUAACAGCCUAGUGGUUACGCGGACUUGUCUGCUUCUGUAAGUAAGGUAUCCGGUUGCCAACCCUAUGGCUAAUAACCUUGCAAAGUUCUACACCAACACCUACGGCUGCAUAGACUACGCGGGCUUGUCUGCUUAUAAAAAAAUAGCAUGCCUGCCACUGGUCUAUCAAGUCUAAAGGUUAAGGCAUGAACAAAAGAAGCGAAGAUGAAGAAAAGCGAAGGAAAACAUAUUUAUAAACAACUAGCAAAGGCCGAAGAAGUUCAAGCAAAACAAGAGCUACAAGGAAAACAAAGAAAAUCAUAAAGGCUACCUAGAAUACUAAACUACAGCAACUUGGACAUCCCAUGACUACUCGGUCGCCACACCUUCAGCAGCCGUAACGCUCUUAGCAGCGGCAUCAUCCGGCGCUUCACCCCCGGCUGCCCCAGCCUCGGCACUAACUUCUCCAACUACUUCACCAAUGGAAGCCUCAAAAGUAAAAGCAAGCAAGUCUUCCAGAGAAAUAGAGAAGGUCUUGAAACCUCAAGCCCAUCAUUCUCACCCUUCAGCUGCUCAUUUCUUCUCAAGCAGACUAACACGGACGCGCUGCAGCUCAUCCACUCCCUUCUUAGCAUAAGCAGCAAUCAACUUUUCAUCAUUUGCAUAAGCAGCGAAACGAAGCUUAGAAACUGCAAACUCAAGAUCUUGAAUCUAAGGUAUUGUAACAUUUAAUCUCAUUUUCUAUACUUUCAUGCUUAACUUGGAUCACGUCAAGUUUAGUCUUCAAGUCAACGAUCUCUUGGCAAGCGGUCUCAAGCUACAAAGAAGUGGGGGCAGAAAUAUUAGACCCUUUCAAAGCAACGAGCUCAGAAUCUUCCAUAGUAUUUGCCAUUUCCUUAGCAGCCUUGCUAUAUCUGCAUCAUAGCAAGCAGAGCAGUCCUUCUAUAUUGGGUCGUAUGCUUCGCAAACGAGUUUGGGCAAACAACCUUUCUGACGCCAUCAACAAACUUAGCACAAGCGUUCAUGUUUUCAAGAGAUCUGGUUUCAAAAGCACAUAAAUCUCAGCAGCCUCCCUUGAAGCAGGCUUAGUGGAUUUCUCACAGCUGCCUACGCGAGCAGUCUCCUCAUUCCCAGCAGGCGAAUCAGUCUCAGCAGCAUAAGGAAUUGGCCUUGGUGCCACAUUAGCAGCAGAGUCCUCCUUAUCGCUUUUCAUAAUAGCAAGCCUCUCCGAAGGUGAACUAAACUUAGCUCCCAACAGACGUCUUGGUAUAAAAUUCGGCACUAGGGGCAUGACAGGACCUUUAUGCCGAACAAUCAUAUCAGCAAUCAUACUAGCCAUUCUUGACAUGGCAGGCGCCACAUGCUCAGAUCUAGCAGCCUCAUUUUUCAUCCCCUUGGAAAAAGUCAAGUCAAUCACAAGCCUGGAGGCAGUUGAUGAACCCGCGCGAGCAGCGAAAGAAGUCUUUCAUUUUUUUUUUCUCAACCGGCAUCUCUUGAGCAGGCAAGGAAGAUCCAUUUUCCCACCUUCAUUUAUAGCAGGAUCCACAACAGUGAUUGGACAAGCCAAUGCAUCUGCCUUGAUCUUAUUCACCUCCUCUUUUAGGAGCAGCCCACGUUUCUCCUGACGAAAAAGAGUUAAAGUAGCCAACGCUAUUCGUGGUACCUAGCAGGGGAGUUCAACCCAACAUUCUAGCAGCUCAUGAGGUUCGCAACCUCUUCAUUUCUCUCAAUCACCGGCCUAGCUUGCGUCAUGUUCAAAAACCUAAAAGGACAUGAGCCAUGUGACUCGCCUAGCACUGCGCCCCAUCGCCACAAUCCGCGACCCUAGCCACACAAGCUGCCCUUGGUUCUAGCCAAGUCAAGCAGCUUAAAGCAGUGGUCCCUGCCACAAUACCUCCUCGGCCUAUGUCGAGCCGACUCCUGGCCCAUGCCAGCCGACAUGCUGCACCACCCCGACGGCUGCCCCGUGGUAGCACCAUCCAAGAAGAAGACAUGGAAAAUUAAUUUUUUCUUACCUCAGUGCGGCACGAAAAAGACAAAGAAAUCAACGAAAGAUGGUCUUUUGCACGGGCAAGAUGUAGAAGAUUGCUAGAGGAGGGGGAACAAAUAUCCUCUAAGUUAUCUCUCUCUUGUAGGGUAGAAUAAAUCGCUCUCCAAAGUUGAUUUAAUAACCCACUUAAGGUGGACUUAAAUAGGCUUUGAGAGAAAUUUAUUUCCCUUUCCUAGAAGGAUCUAAUUUCCUAUUAAAGAGAGAAUCUACAUCAAAAUAGGAAGCAGUCUUAAGUUUCCUAAAGCAAGAAGAUCUCUACACCUGCUGCCCUUUUCUACAAGCAGCCCAACAGGUGUGGGGGCAUUUGUGGAGCCAAAAAUAAUCACAAGGUAACACGUGGAUUUUUAGGUAAAAGGACAAAAAUACCCUUAAGGUGUACCAAAUUUCUACGCACGAGCAGUAGACAAUCAUCCUCAACCAAUUCAAAAAUGCUCCAAAAAAGGUAACCAAUUCCAAAUUAUCUCAUCCAUCCUCAUUUUAGGUAAUUACUUCAUAACCUAUAAAUUGUUCCAUAUAAAUAGAGAUUAAUUGGCUAAUUAAUGAAAUUCAUUAAUCAACCAAUUAAAUCACCAAUCACACCCAAAAAAUGCCUCUUUUGGCCAGUUACCCACUCCCCCAAAGGAACCGGCCAUCUCCUUUUAUUUCCUACCUUUUCUACCAUAUCUUUCCUUUUUAUGAUAAUAAUUAACUAAGAUAAAUAGGGAAUUGUUAGCUAAUUAUUUCAUAAAAUCCCAAUUACCACAAAAUAUCCCCAAAUAUGCACUAAAUGGCCAGCCAUCUAUUGCUAGAAAACGAAUUGGCCAUACUUUGCUUAUUCAUCCCAUUAAUUAGCUAAUUCAUUUGGUAAUAAUCCUUUUGCCAAAUUAAUUAGUCAAUUAAUCACAUAACUCCCAAAAUCAUAUUAAAUCAAGAACCCUAUCCCUAUAAAUAGGCUCCUAUUUUCACCAAAAACUAAGGCCAACACUUUGGCAAAAAUCCCAAAAUUAUCUACACACUCUUUCUCUCUAAAUUCUAACUUUGGCAUCGGAGGUUCUUCGGCCAAAGCCCCCCCAUUGAUCGUGAGCACGUGAGGCUCUUGGUCUUAACCUAAGGUGUUAAUUGUUUCGUAGGUGCAAAAUUAUCCAAGAUCAAAGAGGAAGAAAUUUGCAUCCACAACCAUGGCAACCCACAAAAUGGCCGCCGGGGGGGGGGGGGAGGGAGGUGGGGGAAGAGAAUCUGUGAAGGGAAGAGAGAAAAAAAAAGACCUCGGGAAAGCCAAAAUUUGUGAAGAAAAAGAAAAAUAGUUCCAUUUUCCAUUAAGAGCUUUUUGGGUUUUCAUUUUUCUUUUUCUCAUUAACAUUAUCUCUAAAAUCGAAUUGGGAUAUUGGGGGAGGAAGUUGAGAUUUUUGGGUUUUCUUUUUUCUUUUCCUCGUUAGCAUUACUUAAAGUUAGCUGCAUCCUUUGUUUUUCUUGUUUUCAUACGUUUUGCUUCAUGAAUACUGUGAAUGGAAUGAUACAUUUGUAGGAAAAGGAGAGGAGAAAAGAACUCGUGGAGGAGGAGAAAACGGAAUGGCAGGGGUAUGAAGGCUAGGGGAGGAUGGGAAGGAAAGAUGAGCUAGAAGGGAGGAGAGAAGGGCUUCCGCCGGCACCAAGCCGUAGCAAGGGACCGGCGGCUAAGGAGGUUGCAGAUCUAGGGUUUUGGGCAAGAUAGAGGGCAUCGGCUGGAGAGAAAAGGGCUUUUCCCUACGAUCUACAUACGAAAAAGAGCAUAAUGUCAAGGGGAAAGGUUUUGUACCUUAGACUAGUUGUGGGAUGGCCGAAGUCCCCCGGGAUCUGGCUCGAAACUCACAGGGUUCGCCGGAGCUAGUUCUCGAUUUAUGGGCUUCACCUAACUCCACAGAGACGAGGGAGAGUGAGAGAGAGAGAGAGUCCACGGUGGUGGUGUGUAGGUGUGAGGAUGGGUGCGUGCGUGGGUGUACUGUCGGGGAGAGAGUCUGAGAAAGAGAUAGAGAGUGAAAGAGUGAGAGAGAAAAGUGACCUGAGAGAGUGAGAGAUCCGAGAGAGACUCGGGAAAGGAUUUCUGGGUUUGGGUUUUUCGGGGUUUUUUUUUAAUAAGGUUAAUAUUAUAAUAUUUUUAAUGUAUAAAAAAUUAUUUUUUUUAUCACGUGGCAGCCACAUCAGCACAAAUGUGGCAGCCACGUCAGCAUUUAAUAGACCAAUGAAUGGAAAAUGUAACGGAGGUAUUAUUUUGAAAUAAAAUAGUAGGUGAGGUAUGAAAGUGAAAUGUUUUAAGGAUGUUGUAUGAGGUUGUUAUAGACCUCAAACCUGAAGAGUUACUAUGUAAUUUACCCAUUAUUUUAUGUCAUGCUCGCUUUAUAUAAAUAGAUAAAUAGAUCUAAGAAUUGCGUGACAACUUAACUUUUUUUUUCUCUUUUAGUUAAUUUGUACAAAUUUUUCUGACAUUUGGUACUAGUGGAAGUGGAAUGCUGAAAUAAAAAGAAAAAGGCAAAGAAAUGCGAUGCAAGUUCAUUGAAUGCGAUGCACGCGUAAAUACCAACUUGAAAAACGACAUUAUUACUUUGAUUUCCAUACAUAAAAACAAUUUUUUUAUUUUUAUUAUAAAGCUUCUAUUAUGAUUAAGUACUAGUGAUAUGGCAUUUAUCAAGACUUAAUAAGUCCUGAUUAGUGCUGCUGAAACACGUUUAAUAAGCCUUAUUAAGUUCUUUCUCUGUGAGAAACCCACCAACGAUUUUGAUGCCAAAACAUUACAUGGUCUUAUCUAUUUUAAUGCCUAUUCGCUAAUCCAGUCGAAUUAGUGGUCUUGAAACUUGAAAUAGCAACAACAACAACAACAACAACAAAGCCUUUUCCCACUAAUUGGGGUCGGCUAUAUGAAUCCUAGAACGCCAUUGCGCUCGGUUUUGUGUCAUGUCUUCCGUUAGAUCCAAGUACUCAAGUCUUUUCUUAGGGUCUCUUUCAAAGUUUUCCUAGGUCUUCCUCUACCCCUUCGGCCCUAAACCUCUGUCCCGUAGUCACAUUUUCGAACCGGAGCGUCAGUAGGCCUUCUUUGCACAUGUCCAAACCACCGGAACCGAUUUUCUCUCAUAUUUCCUUCAAUUUUGGCUACUCCUACUUUACCUCGGAUAUCCUCAUUCCCAAUCUUAUCCUUUAUCGUGUGCCCAUACAUCCCACGAAGCAUCCUCAUCUCCGCUACACCCAUUUUGUGUACGUGUUAAUGCUUCACUGCCCAACAUUCUGUGCCAUACAACAUCGCUGGCCUUAUUGCCAUCGUAUAAAAUUUUCCCUUGAGCUUCAGUGGCCUACGACGGUCACACAACACGCCGGAUGCACUCUUACACUUCAUCCAUCCAGCUUGUAUUCUAUGGUUGAGAUCUCCAUCUAAUUCUCCGUUCUCUUGCAAGAUAGAUCCUAGGUAGCGAAAACGGUCACUUUUUGUGAUCUUCGCUAGAUUGCUCCGGUCAUUAGUGUGGAUAAGUAUAUAAAUGGAUAGAGAUAGGAAAGCAAACACAAGAUGUACGUGGUUCACCCAGAUUGGCUACGUCCACGGAAUAGAGGAGUUCUCAUUAAUUGUGAAGGGUUUACACAAGUACAUAGGUUCAAGCUCUCCUUUAGUGAGUACAAGUGAAUGAUUUAGUACAAAUGACAUUAGGAAAUAUUGUGGGAGAAUGAUCUCGUAACCACGAAACUUCUAAGUACCGGAGUGUGGUAUCGUCUUGACUUGCCUUAUCUGUCUCAUAGGUAGAUGUGGCAUCUUCUCUGGAAGUACUCUUCCUCCAUCCAGGGGUGGUAUCUGUAACUGGUGGAGAUGCACAAGGUAAUGUAUCAAUUUCACUUGAAGCUUACUUGUAGUUUCAGGCUUGGUCAAGCGCGAUACAAACCAUGUAGUAGGAGUCCCCCAAGUCGCCGGGCUAGGGGAUCUGCUGAAAGAGGGUGACAGACAAGGUAAGCAAUCAGAGCUCCGGCUGAUUGUUCACAUUCUCCCUAUCUUGCAGGCAGCAUGAAGGAUAAAGAGAAGAAAAAUGAGAAGAGAUGAUAUGGGAUACUUUUGCUUUUGAAGAAGUAACUUUCCACAGGCUUAUUCUUGAACCGGGCUGGAGGGUUUUCUGGUUUCCUCCAGAGUAUAAGGCCGACUGAAGAAUUUGAGGGUCAAAACAAGUCCAUCAAAUCUAGAGUACGUUCGACCCUGCUGAUAUGGGAUACUUUUUCUUUUGACAGAGUAGUGGAUGUAUCGGCACGUGUGCUGUUACGCUUGUCUCCACAUGCUUCCUUGUAUCCUUCUCACUUGCCCUAUCUGUUCCUCAGGCAGAUGCGUAUCUUCCCUGGAAGCAUAAGAUGUUGAAGAUGAGUACUCGAGAGCAAUGUCCAGGUAAGUAAUCAGUAAGGGGUUCCAGGCAGUCAGUUCAUGGCUGGAAGCUUGAUUCCAAGUGCUGAUUGAUUGCUCUCUUUCUCCUUGUCUUGCAGGUAAGAACAAGGCCAAAGGAAAAGACAGGGAAAAAGCAUGAUAUGGGAUACUCUUGCUUUUAACCCUGAUGAUAUGAGAUAUUCUUGCUCUAGUAUAGCUUGUUUACAGAGGUAUUAUCGGGGGGAAAGAAAGCUGAAUAUUUUGAAAGGCUUCGUUAGGAGUGCCAUCUCAGAUAAGAGAAAGGGUUGAGCAUUUUUGCAGGUCUGCCUGUCCAUUAGGGAUGGAGGUCGACAUAUAUAGGAGUCCCCCUAACAUCAAGUAAUAAUGCUAUUCCUUUACCCUGCUUGGUCAUAACAUAGUAGUGGGAGCUGCCAGCUUCACAUGUUUUAACUCUGUUAGAGCACUUUGAAAAAGUGGUCUGUGGUAUCUGGAAAGCUGAUGUUGCGUGUGAAGAUUACAGACAAGCUUUAUCCAAGGAGAUCCAGCUCUUGAAGUUGGGAAAGUGGUGCCUCUUCGGUUUUCGAACAAGCAAUCCUGUCGGGGAUCUGGCUCUCGAGAUUCGGAGAACGAUGCCUCUUCGAUUUUUGAGAAAACAAUCCUGCUGGGGGUCUGGCUCUCGAGAUUCGGAGAGCGGUGUCUCUUCGAUUUUUGAGAAAGUAAUCAUGUUGGGAGUCUGGCUCUCGAGAUUCGGAGGGCGGUGCCUCUUCGAUUUUGGAGCAAGCAAUCUUGUUGGGAGUGUUUUCUCGAAUGUGAGUAAAGGUUGGGCAUGUUUGCUAGUCUACCUUGCCACAAAGCACAGAGGUUGACACAGGGACUUUCCAAUUAUCCAGCAGUGGUACUGUUCCUUUACCUUCUCUUCGAUUUUUGAGAAAGUAAUCAUGUUGGGAGUCUGGCUCUCGAGAUUCGGAGGGCGGUGCCUCUUCGAUUUUGGAGCAAGCAAUCUUGUUGGGAGUGUUUUCUCGAAUGUGAGUAAAGGUUGGGCAUGUUUGCUAGUCUACCUUGCCACGAAGCACAGAGGUUGACACAGGGACUUUCCAAUUAUCCAGCAGUGGUACUGUUCCUUUACCUUCUCUUCGAUUUUUGAGAAAGUAAUCAUGUUGGGAGUCUGGCUCUCGAGAUUCGGAGGGCGGUGCCUCUUCGAUUUUGGAGCAAGCAAUCUUGUUGGGAGUGUUUUUCUCGAAUGUGAGUAAAGGUUGGGCAUGUUUGCUAGUCUACCUUGCCACGAAGCACAAAGGUUGACACACAGGGACUUUCCAAUUAUCCAGCAGUGGUACUGUUCCUUUACCCUUUCUUCGAUUUUUGAGAAAGUAAUCAUGUUGGGAGUCUGGCUCUCGAGAUUCGGAGGGCGGUGCCUCUUCGAUUUUGGAGCAAGCAAUCCUGUUGGGAGUGUUUUCUCGAAUGUGAGUAAAGGUUGGCAUGUUUGCUAGUCUACCUUGCCACGAAGCACAGAGGUUGACAUACCGGGACUUUCCAAUUAUCCAGCAGUGGUACUGUUCCUUUACCCUUGUGGGUAAUAAUAUGGUAGCUAGACCUUCAAAAUUUAUGUGUCUAAACUUUGUUAGUGUUGUUUCUUUGCAAUUCUUUUACCCUUCUUGGUCAGAGCGAUGUAGCGGGAGUUGCAAGCUUCACGUGUCUCAACUUUGUCAGAGAACUUUGGCAAAGUUAUCUGUGGUACCCAUGAGUUACUGUUGCGUAUGGGAAGUGGGUGAUUGAACAGUACGAUUCAUGUGCUUUCUACUUCGCCAGAAAUCUUCGACAGAAUGCCCAUAAUUUCCGCAAAGCUGAGUGUGCGUGUGACAGGUGCUGACAAGGCUGGAAAAGUAGGUGCCUCUUCGAUUUCUGAGAUCAGCCUUCGUGGUCUCUUAGCAGCCCAGCUUUUGAGAAAGCAAGCCUCUUCGAUUUCUGAGAUCGGCCUUCGUGGUCUUUGAACAGCCCAACUUUUGAGAAAGCAAACGCCUCUUCGAUUUCUAAGAUCAACCCUCGUGGUCUCUGAGCAGCCCAGCUUUUGAGAAAGCAAACGCCUCUUCGAUUUCUGAGCAGGCGCCUCUUCGAUUUCUGAAGCUUCGUCGAGUGCAGAUUUUUAUAGGGGCUGACAUUAAGUUCCAAAGCACACUUGAAUAUCCACCAGUAGAAGCUCCAUUCUUGCACUUCUAAGAUCUUGAUUUGUCCGACCUCUUCUCUCUUCAACACUUUUGAAAAUGUCUGGCCCCUCUGACCGUCGUUUUGACUUGAACCUUGUUGAAGAGGCAGCCCCGCCUUCUCCAGACAACAUAUGGCGCCCAUCCUUCGUCUCCCCUACUGGUCCUCUUACCGUUGGGGAUUCCGUGAUGAAGAAUGAUAUGACCGCUGCGGUGGUCAGGAACCUUCUCACUCCCAAAGAUAACAGACUACUUUCCAAACGGUCUGAUGAGUUGGCUGUUAAGGAUUCUCUGGCUCUCAGUGUUCAGCGUGCAGGUUCUGUGUCUAACAUGGCCCAACGCCUAUUUGCUCGAACCUGCCAAGUUGAAUCAUUGGCGGGUGAAGUGAUGAGUCUCAAACAGGAGAUUAGAGGGCUCAAGCAUGAGAAUAAAUAGUUGCACCGGCUCGCACAUGACUAUGCUACAAACAUGAAGAGGAAGCUUGACCAGAUGAAGGAAUCUGAUGGUCAGGUUUUACUUGAUCAUCAGAGAUUUGUGGGUUUGUUCCAAAGGCAUUUAUUGCCUUCGUCUUCUGGGGCUGUACCGCGUAAUGAAGCUCCAAAUGAUCAAUCUCUGAUGCCUCCUCCUUCUAGGGUUUUGUCCAGUACUGAGGCUCCGAAUGAUCCCCCUCCGGUGCCUUCUCUUUCUGGGGCUUUACCGACUGCUGAGACUUCUCCUAAGCAACCUUUGUGAAGGCUCCCUCUUGUUUGUUUAUUUUGACUCAAGUAUAUGUACAUAUUUGUAACUUAUCGGGGAUAUCAAUAAAUAAGCUUUCCUUCAUUUCAACGUAUUGUGUUAAAUACACCAAAGCCUUCUUCGCUAAGUUCUUUGAAUUUUCUUUUGUUGAAGCUUGUAUGUUGAAGCUUUGUGAGUGGAGCAUGUAGGUUGAGGUAGUGUUCCCUUAAUUUCCUGAGUGAGGAAAACUUCUCGGUUGGAGACUUGGAAAAUCCAAGUCACUGAGUGGGAUCGGCUAUAUGAAUCUUAGAACGCCAUUGUGUUCUGUCCUGUGUCAUGUCCUCCGUUAGAUCCAAGUACUCUAAGUCUUUUCUUAGGGUCUCUUCCAAAGUUUUCUUAGGUCUUCCUCUACCCCUUCGGCCCUGAACCUCUGUCCUAUUAGGAUUUUUAUUGUAACCUAAGUCCUAUGCAAUAAAUAGGACCUUGGGGUUAGCAUAUUUAGUGUGGCUCAUUCGUGUGGCAAUUUGUGAGUUUGUGAGUUAGAGAGCAAUUUGGGAGAAUCUUCUCCGUUAGUUUUGGUUUAGGGUUUGUAAUUUGUGAGAUUUGGGUUGUGAGAGUUUAAACACUUUUGUAAUCUCCAUUUGUUUAGUGAAAUUUCUCGCCGUGCUUCGCUCGUGGACGUAGGCUUUACGCCGAACCACGUAAAUCUCUUGUGUUAGUUUGAGAUUGUUUGUUUUGACUUUCACCUACAACGUUGAUAUUGAUACUUUGUUAGAACUCGCUUCCGUUUGCGCAUAAAAGUACAACACAUUUAUUAUGCUCAUUGCCUCACCCACUAUUUUUUGCCCAAUGCCCAUCCUAAUUUCUUACUUAUCAAUUACAUAAUACAUAAUAAUGUUGACAUAAAGUUAAAAUUAAAAUAAGAUAAAGAGUAGGAAUGUACGCUAUUCUCGAAAAAAUGCCUCACUUGCAUUUGCAGCAAACGACGGUUCUUUGAGCACCAUUCUGUGCAUUCUCUGUUCCAGGUACAUUCUAAGUUUAAUUUCUAUACCACUACUGCUAUACUAGUGUGGGUUCAAUAUAUUGGUAUUGAACUCAUGAGACUCGUGAGUUCAAGAAAUUGGUAUCACACUCAACUUUUCCAACGCACUGUAAAAAUGUCAUCUUUGUAUAAGUUCAAUAUAUUAGUAUCCUUACUUUUUCCGGCCUACUGUGGGAGGCCUGAGGAUAAGAGAUUUUACACUCAUUAAUGCAACUAGGAAAAAGUAGGCAGUCAUCAUAAUAUUUGUUCCAGAAGAUAGACUUAUCCAUGUCAUGUUCCAUGCAAACUUCUAAAACUAUACGCCUUGUUAAUGUUUGAUUUAGUUUUGAUUGAUGUUGCAAAUACAAAUCAGUGAGAGUGAUUGAUUUGUGAGCUGAAGGAAGAAGAGGAGAGAGCAAAAUUGAAGACGUUGCUUCUAUGUAUAGGAUUCGAUUCUAACAGACGAGAGAGAGAGAGAGAGAGAGAGAGAGAGAGAGAGAGAGAGAGAGAGAGAGAGAGAGAGAGAGAGAGAGAUAGAGAGAGAGAGAGAGAGAGAGAGGAAGUAACUGUUCCAAUCCCACUAGCUCUAUUGACGAUAUGGGAGAGAGAGAGGAAUUAACUGUUCCAAUCCCACUAGCUCUAUUGACGACAUGUACAACUGAACCAUCUCAUCUGCUAUAACAGAUGGCACUAAUCUAGCCUAUAGCUAGUUCUAGUUUCAGCACUUCAUUACAAAAUAAGAACCAAGAACACAAAAUACAGAAAUUGAACAAAGUGUAAUCAGCUUCAAAGCUUAAGUCCUAACACUUCCUUCCAAGCUUGUAGCUGAUUUCACACCAAUGAGAAAUUGUUCCCACUACAAGGCCAGACUCACUGUCACUUCCAUCCGUCUUGCACAAUUUCUCAUUUACUGGAAGUGGAGUUGCCACUAACGUAGCCUUAUAGCCCAAAUAUCUCAAGUAACUUUAUUGCAUAUUUCUUUUGGUGAAUGAUGAUGCUCAUUUCAGUUUGAACAACUCUCGUUCCCAAAAAGUGGUAUAAUAAUCUCAAAUCAGUCAUUUCAUAAUAUUGCAUCAUAUCACUCUUGAAUUCUUCAAGCAUUGUUGGAAAACUACCAAUAUAAACAAUGUCAUCAACAUACGAAGAGAUAGUGAUUGUAACUAAGCUUUCAUUUGAUUUGGUGUAAAGAGUAGCUUCAUUAGGACUUUUUUAGAACCCAGCCUUGGUAAAAUAAGAAUAUAUCAAAUAUAACAACACCAUAUAUUUGGUAAUAUUUGUGAAGUGAGAAAUUACGUUAGGCUAUAGUCAACAAAAAUCUGUAGAGAAAGUGAACUGCUGAAAUAAGAGGAAAAAGGUAGAGGAAAGAGAUGCAAGUUCAUUGAAUGAGAAGCAAGCACACAAGAAAAUGCACACAUAAGAACCAAUAAAUAUGUUGUAGGCAUAAUUUACUAAGCAAUUAUAGAGGCCAGAAAGAGAAAGAGGGUGAGGCAUAGAGAGAGAGAAGAAAGAGAUGUGUAAUUGUGAGGUGUGUGUUAUUCCAUCCCAUUGUGCCUUUAUUUAUAGUAGUAGAGAAGGUUAAUUCCUUAUCCUAAUAGGAUUACAACCCUAAUAGGAUAAUAUAUAGUCUAAGAGAUAUGGUAGAAUCCCAUAAGGAUAUCCUAGAUAUGUUAAGAUUUACACAAUCACAUUCAUUAUCUAAUAGGACUACAACACUCCCACUUGAGUGUGUAAAUACUCAAACAAAUAGCGCAUUAGUUCUUCAGCGAUGAAGCAAGUAUAGUGAUGAAGUGUUUGGCACAAUGAGCGAAUGCGAGUCUCAAAUUAACGGAAGAAUGCAUAAAAGGUAAAACUCACAAACCCUCGCUGUGGUAAAACCCAAGGUGGGAGAAAAACCCAUAAACUAAGGAGAAAAGUGAGAAGUUGCAUUAAGUCAAAAUUAUACAUCUUAUGGACGCAAGUACUUUCAGAAUAGCGAAAAAACAUCUUUAAUACCAAUUCAGUGGUUACGUGUAGGCAUAGUGCUGCAGCUAUACUAAUAGAUCAACAGCGAAUGAGAUGUCCUUUCUAAUUGCAAUCAACAGCGAAUGAGAUGUCAUUUCUAAUUGCAAUGAACUAAGUACAACAAGCGCAAAGUUGAACUCAAAUAUGGAACUUCGGAUUCCAUAACCUCUUAAAGGGUCUCAUUUGCAUAUAGCGUAUGGAAGAUUAUAGGUAUACUCAAAGGAAAAACCUUCGGGGUGUAGUUUAACUGGUAGACCAAAGUACCGUCAGAGCAACGCUUGAACUUUAAGUCAAGAUGAGUUUUCCCAAGAUCCUUCAUCUCAAAUUCCUUAUUCAGGUGUGAGAUAGUUUUCUCAAGCUCUUCCAGAGUCUUAGUGAGAUUCAUGUCAUUUGACGUAAACUGUAACUCUAGCAAUACAGAAUAAGACUUCAUAGUUUAACACGCAAGGGCUUACUUCAUAUCCUUAACUGAUCAAAUAAUCACUUAGACGGGUAUACCACAUCCGCCAAAUUGUUUUAAUCUGUAAGUGAACGCCUCAAACAAGUUGAGAGGGUGUUUCGUGGUUUGGAACUAUUUGAACCAGUCCAUGCAAUUCUUCGAGAACUUACAUGUAAAUCUCCGUAUCAAUAUCCCCCAUGGAAAAACACUAACCACAUUUCAUAAUGCUGCUGUCAAUCACAUGGGUUUGAGAAAAACCUUGUGCCGUAAAAUGUGCAUCAUAUCGCACUAUUUCAUUCAUCUCAUUAAACUUUCUUUCCCACUUGUAACACAACAAGUUUACCUUGGGCAGUACAGGAAUGAUAGGUCCAAAACACACCUUGGUAAGGAAUUUAACCUGGAUUGCAAUUUCGGUUGUCCAAUCAGUUAUACGUUGUCACUAAUCAACGAAACAUGGUUCGGUAUCUUUCAUUUAUAUCAACAACUACCAUAUAAGUGAAAACAUUAUCGAUGAUAAUUUCAUUUCAAUUCCAUUUUCUCAUCUAAACUAGUAUACUGGACCAAGAACUUCAAGUCUCAGGAGUAAUUCGGAUAAAUCUCAUGAGAUGUAAAUCAUUUGAGAUAACGAUCAAGUAUAGAUUCAUUUAGUGUCAUAUCUUCCUCUUCUAGGGAAAUGAAUCUGAUGAUUGAGUGAUUAGUCAUGCUCCAGGCCAAGACAGAUUGAUUGGCUAUCUGCCGGUGUACCGGACUGUCCAACAUGGAUGGCCAAACCGUCCAACAAGGACGUCACACCCUUCGGGAAUGUUGACUCAACAUCCAUUUAAGUACCUCUAUCCUUGCAGGCAUGUUUGCAGCUAGUAUAUGAUCUCGUCACUUUAGCUAGAUCAGAGAAAUGUGUCUGGAGCAAUAUUAUGAAAGCUAGAAUUCAUUGCACUUGCUUAUCACACUUGUGUGGUACGAGGAUUGAGAUUAGGCAUAAUGGGUAACGUCCAAGCAAAUUUGCACCGUUCUACAAGAACGUUAACGUUCUUAUCUCCCCCUAACGGUGAGAAGACUGUCUCAUUGAAGUGAAAAUCCGCAAAUGAACAAUCAAGAGAUCGUUUACAAGGGCUCUAAGAGAGCUAAGGUGAAGGAAAAUCUUAAUCGACAAAGAUUCACAUUCUACUUUAAUGACCCAUGUUGGUACGUUGCGACGACUCAACUUGGCACAUGGAAUGCACACCCAAAUGCGUAAAUACGAAGAGUUAGGUUCGUACCCAGUAACCAACUGUGACGUCAAAUAAGUUGGGUGGCAAGGGGCCUCAAGGCAGACCAACAUAGCUGCGUACAAGAUUGCAUAGCCUUUGGCAGAAAUCGAAAACUUAGUGCGAUCAAUUAAAUUGCGCUUUAUAAUUGCUCUACGAAGAUGUUUUAGGGUGAAUAUAGGAAUUCGAUGUUCAAUUAUAAGCCCAAUAGACAUGCAAUACUUUAUCAAAAAAUCGUCGAUAUAAACUCUUCCGCAUUAUCCAGUCUCCCAGACUUUAUGGGAUAAGUAGGGUGGUGAACCCUUAAAAUUGGCCAGGAGGUUUAGCAGCAAUGUGCAUUGAUAAACAUGUGACAAGUUUGUUGAUUGAUUAACCAGAACCAUAAAUAUUUAUAUGGUUAGCAUUUUGGUUGGAUUAGUCCACAUAUAUUCCCUUGAAUCCAUUGUGAAAAGAGGGCCAUUUUCGUGUUUUUGCUAAGGAAGAUUAGCAAAUCAAUUUCCCAAACGAGUAGGCUUGACAAAGUGUGCAUGUAAGCACAAGAUCUUUACUUCGGGUAAGAAGAUGUGUCGUGGCAUCACUGUUCGACUUAAGUGUCCCAAAUCGUCGUGCCAAAGCAAAUGAACUGCUUGAAUCACCCGGCUGCAGGCCGGUCACAUGUGGCGUGUUCCUAGUAAGGAGACAGUGCUCUUCAGGCUCAUCUUUGGAGAUGGUGCAAAGAUUUUAAAUAUUCUUAAAACUCAAUGAUGUUCGUCCGAAACAGGAAGAAUAUAAGGUCUCUGACAUGGUAAUUUAGUACCAUUCAUACAACGAGGACCAUGCCAAUGCUCUUAAUCAGGUUGGAUAGAUCUAAAAUCAUUGUUAGAGAUGUGAUUUAGGUGUAAAGUUAGUGUGCGUAGUAUCGCAUUCAUCGAGACAACUAACUUUCUCACGUUCGUACCUAAUCACGUGUUUAAUUGAAUUCGGUCACAUGUAUACAAGAAACAUGAUUCAAUUAACUCAUUUUCGAGGACAAGAUCGAUAAGAUUAUCCAUAACUAAAACAAACACCAAAUGUGAAUCCAAGAACAUAAAAAUGUUCAUAAAGUAAACAAAAGUUACUAGGGGGAUUUGGCCAACAAGGCCAUCCAUGUCAAAAUUCUGAUUUUCCAACGAUGUUUGUUGGAGCAAAAUUAGUCUCACAUAUUGACUACUAGAAUGGUACUCCUCAACAACAUUGGUAGUGGCACAAACAGGUGCAUAACCAAUGAUCUAUUCUAUUGAGAUGGAAGUAGAUUCUGUAGGGUUGAGGUUUAUAAAUAUUAUCCCUUCUUCUUGAAGUUUUAGGUCUUAGGUACCAAUGAUCACGCUUCAGGCAUGAUGUCAUACGUUAGCUAGCCCUAAUCCUACCAUAAGUUGUAAAAACAAACUUGAAAUUGGAUUGUGAGAGAGACAGAGCCAGACUUGGGUUCAGUAGGCUCCAGCGGAAGCUUGAGGGGUUUGUUCGGUAUGCCUCUGCCGAAGCAGAGCAAUACAGUUCGAUGCAUCUUUGCCGAAGCAAAGCAUGCCUCUUCGGUGCAUCCUUGCCGAAGUAGGGUAUCACCAUUUGGUAGGCUUUGACUGAACUGGGUUUAUACCAUUUGGUAGACUCCAGCCGAAGCUGGGCUUGUCCCGUGUGUUGAGCUCGACCCAAAAAAGCCAGCAGCCUUGCUGCUGGGCUUUCUAUUUCUCGGCCCAUGGCCUACAACCAUGUUUGGGUUGCUUUGCAACAACCUUGAGGCCUACAUGCGUUUAGGGCUUUGCCCUACUCACGGAACCUAAGCCCAAUUCUAUUAGGCUAUGGUUUUUCGAAUCCAAUGCUAUUUUUUUGGCAUUUUAAAUAAUUUUAACCCGAAUGUUAUUAUUAUUUUUGCUUCUACGAUCGAUCUUGUAUGGUCCGAUCUAUUGAAUUAAUUAAAGUAACCUGCAGUCCAUUAUCUGACAAUUAAUCUAAAAUUAUUGGCCUGAAGUCCACUUUUUGGCAUUAACGAUUCAAUAAAUUAUUUCGCUUCUUUGGACCGUUGACUAUCUUUCGUAGUCCUGAAACACUCACACUUGGAUUCCUGAAGCAAUCCAUAAAUUCACUACACUUUAUUGUAUAUUGUAUUCUUGCAGGUACCCCUAUAUGAACUAAAUGUUCAUAUAUAAAUCGAACAUGUAGUUUCGAAUUUAGUGCCUUUGAAAUCUGAAAUUUUCAUUCAAAACUUACCACAUGAAACCUAUAGCUUUCAUGCUUAAAUUAAACCAAUACAUGUCUAUAGAACCUGUAUGUUCUACAAUAUAUGUCUAUGGCUUUCUAUAUGACUAACCACAUUUUGGUGUACCCUCUGUUUUAGGGACAUGUCGAACUUGAACAAACACGAUUUCACCGCUUUGGAAGUCUUCAGAAGAAACUACCUGAAGUGGGUUUAAGACGUGAAGCUCCAUCUUAUUGCAAAGGGUUUUAGAGCUACGAUCGAGGAACCUAUCAACGAUGAACUCAUCGAUGAAGCUCAGAAAGCUACUGUUAUGAUCUUUAUUUGAAGACGCAUUCAUGAUGCACUGUAGACUGAGUACCUCGCAGAGGAGGAUCCAUGUACCCUCUGGCUCGCUCUGACGGAUCAUUUUGAUCACAAGAAAGACAUCUACUUGCCUAAAGUAAGACACGACUGGCAGCAUUUACGCUUCCAAGACUUCAAGUCUAUGAAUGAAUUUAACUCUAAAGUUUGUAAAUCUGAUCACUGCUUAAGUUUUUUAAAGAGAACUUAACUGAACAAUAUCUCCUAGAAAAUACCUAUUCGAUCUUCAAUGCCACCAAUAUUGUCAUGUAGCAAUAAUAUAGGGCACAACAAUUCACCAAAUUUUCGGAUUUGAUUUGUUAUAUUUCUCGCUGAAAAGCAGAACCAGUUUUUGAUGAAGAAUCAUCAAGCUCAACCUACUAGCUCGAACGCUCCGCCUGAAGCACAUACGACUAAUUCUAGCAACCACAACCGACGGAAACCCCAUUGUGGCCAUGGUAAUGGGUGGAAAGGCCCACCACGGGCCCAAGGUCCACUGAAUAGAAGCCCAUCCAAGGGAGGAAAUUUGACCCAGAAGCGCAAACCCCUUGCCCCUAAGGCACCAAACUUUAAGAACAAGGGAAAAGCUAUUGUUUAAUCAAAUUCCACUAAACUGGACAUGUGCUACCGUUGUGGAUCAAAGGAUCAUGGGUCAUGCGUAUGCCGAGCUACCCCCAAGGUUAUUGCCAAGUAUCAUUCCCGUCGUGAGACUAACUUUGUGCAUGUGAAACAUCCCGAAUAUGCUACUACAACUCUGGAGGUUUCAGAUUUUCAAAAGGCAUCCUCUCAUAUGGAAGAAUAAAGUUUAUUUUUCAAGACAUGUUUUUAGGGUGUUUUACCCCUAGUGGCCAAAACCACUAGAAGUGGCCAAACCCACUAGGAGUGGCUGAAGCCCCCUCUUAAAUUUUGGUUUAUGGUUUAAUUGUUGGACAAUUUUUCUAAGUAUUUGAAAUUAUUUGUUUGGAUUGGUUUGUUUUGAACUAUGGAUAUUAUUUCUCGAUUUGAUUAAUUGAAUGAAUGGAAUUAUAUUUAUGCAUGUGACUGAUUCAAUUAAUUUAUUUCUAGGUAUAACUAGUGGGGAAGUUAGUUGUCUAGCUGAUAGUGCAACCACGCAUACCAUAUUACGUGAAACACUAGUUUACUAACUUCGUACCUAAGAAUGCACUUCUGACAACCCUCUCAAGCCCAUCCAACCUAAUAGAAAGAUACGGAAAUACCUGUAUAAUGUUAUCCAAUGGUACUGAAUUAAUCAUUAAAGAGGCACUCUAUUCUCCACAUUCCGAAAGAACGUUGUUGAGAUUUAGAGAUAUUCAAGAUAAUCAAUAUCAUAUUGAAACCACCGAAGAGAAUUGUUGUUAAUUUCUUUGUAUCACUUCUUACAAAUAUGGCUGAAAGCGUAUUCAUGAGAAGCUGGAACUUCUUUCGAGUGGGUUGUAUAUAACAACCAUUUGAGCACUUGAGACAUACCAUAUGGCCGGCCUUAUGGCUGGGUUCCAGGACACUCUCCUACUUUGGCAUGAAUGAAUGGGACAUCUCGAAUGAGAUAUGAUGCACCAUAUCCUAAAAGGAUCAUAUGGGCAUCGCUUAAAAUCUUAUCCAGACCGUUCACUUUGCAAAGCAUGCUCCAUGAGGAAGUUGAACAUUCAACCCUUAAUUACAAAGAUUAUUCACGACCCCUCAUAAAUUUCUUCAGAUGAUUCAAGGGGAUAUUUGUGGAUCUAUCCAACUAACAUGCGGACCAUUUAGAUAUUUCAUGGUGUUGGUUGAUGCAUCUACACGAUGGUCACAUGUUUGCUUAUUGUCCACACACAAUACUGCAUUUGUGAAACUCUUAACACAAAUUAUCAAGCUUAGGGCUCACCACCCUAAUUAUUCGAUCAAAUCGAUUGGACUAGAUAAUGCUAAAGAGUUUACGUCACAGACUUUUGACGAUUAUUGUAUGUCUGUUGGGAUUGAAGUUGAACAUCUUGUACCUCAUGUUCAUACCCAAAACGACCUGGCAGAAACUUUCAUAAAUCGCCUUCAAACGAUAGGUCGGACUUUGGUUAUGAGAACCAACUUGCCGAUAUCUGCCUGCUGCCAUAUUGCACUCAACUAUGUUGGUCCGCCUGAGGCCCACUGCUACCUAACCUCAUUCACUAUUACAGUUGGUUACUAGAUACGAGCCUAACGUCUCAUAUUUACAUGUGUUUGGGUGCACAUUCUAUGUGCCAAUAACAUCGCCACUACAUACCAAAAUGGGUCCUCAAAAAAAAAUGGAAAUCUAUAUUGGUUAUGAUUUGCCAGCAAUUAUUCAUUACUUAGAGUCCUUGACAAACGAUUUAUUUACCCCAUGUUUUACAGAUUGUCAAUUCGAUGAGACAGUCUUCCUGUCGUUAGAGGGAGACAAUAUCACUAACGUUCAUAUAGAACACCAUGAAUUGUCGUGGAUUACUCCCACUAUGUCUCAAGCAGAUCCUCGCACCCCUUAGUUUGAAACUGAAGUACCACGCAUUUUAGAUCUUCAGAACAUUUCUCAAAGAAUGCCGGAUGCUUUUACUGAUCUAACAAAGGUGACGAGAUCAUAUAUACCCACUGCAAACACACCUGCAAGAUAAAUGUACUUAAUAUACGUCGUAUGACCAUCGUGGAAGGCCGAACCGACCCCGAGGGUGGGGCAACUGCACCUCCCACACGGCAUGGUACACUAGCGACUAGCCAAUCAUCUACUCUAACCCUGAGGCAUGGCAAACCUCCUAGUUCAAAGGAUUUACAACUCUGGAAGAAGAAAACGACACAAACUAGUGAACCUAGUUUGAAUCCGACCAUUGCUUACUCAUUUAUUCCAACGUAUGAGGUUAUUCUAGAUUACAUAGUUUUGGAUGAGGUUUGAAAUCGGAAUGAGAUGAUUGUCGAUGAUGCAUUGGCGUAUACAGUUACUUCGGACAUCAUGCUUAGCAAUGAUAUUGAACCAUGUUCCUUUAAUGAAUGUCGACGUAGAACGGAUUGGUCAAACUAGAAACAAGUAAUCCAGGUCGAACUCGAUUUGCUUGCGAAAUGUAAGAUGUUUGGGAUUCUAGCUCAUACUCCACCACAUGUGAAGCCCGUGGGCUACAAGUGGGUUUUUGUAAGGAAGCGUAAUGAGAAUAAUGAAAUAGUGAGAUACAAGGCAUGCCUCGUGGUGUAAGGCUUCUCUCAAUGCCCUAGGAUUGAUUACGAGGAGACAUAUUCCCCUAUAAUGGACGUCAAAACUUUCUGCUACCUUAUCAGUUUGGUAGUUUCUGAAAAACUGAAUAUGUAGAGUUCUAGACCACAGAACUUCCUCGAUUAGAUUGAGGAGAUCACUUUACGGAUUGAAACAAUCUGAGUGGAUGUGGUAUAACUGUCUGAGUGAAUAUUUGAUAAGUUAAGGUUAUGUGAACAACGAACUAUGCUCAUGUGUGUUCAUUAAGAAGUCACAUUCUGGAUUUACGAUCGUUGGAGUUUAUGUCGAUGACAUGAACCUCAUCAGAACUUCCGCAGAGCUUGGGAAAAUUGCCACGCACUUGAAAUCAGAAUUUAAGAUGAAAGAUCUUGGAAAAACUCGAUAUUGUAUCAGCCUGCAGAUCAAGCAUUAUUCGGAUAGAAUCCUAGUACAUCAAUUGAAUUACACCCAUAAGGUGUUGCGACGUUUUAAUGAGAAUAAAGCGAAGCUUUCAAGUACUCCUAUGGUUGUUCGGACAUUAGAUGCUAAACGAGAUCCCUUCCGUCCCAAGGAAGAUGAGGAAGAGAUUUUGGAGCCUAGAGUUCCAUACCUAAGUGCAAUUAGUGCUUUAUUGUACUUGGCUCAAUGCACUAGACUUGACAUUUCCUUCGUUAUUAAUCUUUUGGCUAGAUACAGCAACGCGCCUACACGCAGACACUGGAAUGGUGUUAAAGACGUACCUUAAGGGUACGAUAGAUUUGGGCUUGUUCUACACCCAUGAAACUUCGAGAUGAGUCAUCACCCCCCUUAGUUCUCGGGUUUAUUCUCGCAUCGUUGGUUACGCAAAUACUAGUUAACUGUCUGACCCACAUAGAGCACGUUCUCAAACAAGUUAUGUCUUUACCAUUGAAGACACUGCUAUCUUGGAGGUCUACCAAGCAAGGACUUCUUCGAACCAUGUUGAGAUUCUUGCCCUGUAUGAAGCCUCGCGAGAGUGCUUUUGGUUGAAAGCAGUUAUGGAACAUAUUCGAAGCACUAAUGGUCUUACUUCUGUCAUUGACCUUCCUAUGACGAUCUUUAAAGACAAUGCAACAUGUAUCGAGCAGUUAAAGAAGGAAUACAUCAAGGGAGAUAACAUCAAGCACAUAACGCCGAAGUUCUUUUACAGUAUUACUCUCACCAGCAACAACAGCAUCAGAACAUUAAAGUCAAGCAAAUCCAUUCCCAAGACAACUUGGUCGAUCUCUUCACCAAGUCAUUACCCCUAAGUCUACUUUUCAAAAGCUCUCCAAGAAAUCAGUAUGCGUAAAUUGUCUGAGUUGAAUUGCCUGUAGUUCUCUUAUUUGGAAGUAUGUCUAACUCAGUGGGAGUAUCUAGAAGCAUACUCACUUAAUCUUAAUGUACUCUUUUUCCUACGAUUAUGAGCAUUUUUCCCAUUGGGUUUUGCUACCUAAUGAGGUUUUGAUGAGGCAACCAUCCUGGGAUGACCAUACUCCGUUGAGUUCACUACUUUCUUCCUCUUUGACGUUUGCUUUAGACAUUAUGCAUACUUCUCACCUUUAGUCUAUGGGUUUUUGCCUACCUCAAGCGUUACCAUAGCGAGGUUUUGUGAGUUUUACUACCGAUGCAUACUUACUUUCUUAUAUUUGAGACUCGCAUUUACUCUUUGUGCCGACGACUUCGUCAACUGUUUUACCUCAUCUGCUGAAAAUCUGAUGCAAAGUUUUGUUUGAGUAUUUACACACUCAAGGGGGAGUAUCUUUGUAUAUUCCCUUUAGUAGUUUAAUUCCUAUUAGAGAUGUAAUCUUUUUAGGGUAAGGAUUCUACCUAUCCUACUACUAUAAAUAAAGGCAUAAGGGGGUGAUACAACACACGUCUCAAAAUUAUAUAUCUCUCAUCUCUCUAUUGAUGCCAACCCUUCUCCCUUUUUGUCAUAAAUACAGUUCAGUCAAAUAGGCCUACAACAUGAAUAAUAUUAUCUACAAUAAGGGAGAAGGGAUAGGCUUAGCCUCAUAACAGGCUAGCAAUAAUGUGGUUCAAAUUCGCUUUUACUAAGAAAAAAAACCUAAGACCUCUCACGUAAAAGUGAAAAGGAAUACCACUACACCGUAGUACUAAAUGGCGACUACACCUAGAUUUGAAUGCAUUCUUUGAAUCUUGUUAAAUACUACUUUGACUACACCAUGAUCGAACAAUUUGGAAAAAUAACCAAAAGGUAGACCAUGAAUAGAAUUUUAACCAACCAUCAUAAUUUCAUAUAAUUCUAACCAAAAUUUGAUGUAAAAAUACUUAAACACCCUUGUUCAGUUGGAACCUUGUCACGAUACUCCUUCAAUCUCUUCUUAAUAGAUGGUUGUAUCUGCACCCUUUCUGAUUCAUUCAAUGCUUUCCUCUCCUGAUCCCUCUGAGCAUGCAACUCCUUUUCUAUGACCAUCUAUUCAAUCUCAUCGUCGGUAAGAUUUAAAAAAACAAAAAAUUUCAAAGUGUUUUAAUUUUUUUUUUAAAUUUUAAUUAACUACACCCUGAUUUUAAAAUGUUUUAAAUUCUUUUAAAAUCCUAACGGCACAUAAUCAAACUCAAAUUUGAGAGGAUUUUAAAAGACUUUAUAUCUUGACUAUACCUCCUUAGACUUUAUUCUUUAAUUUCCAAACAUAACAAUUAUUUUUUUCUAUUACAAAGCUUAUGUUAUGCUACUAAUAAUACUACAGUCUAGUGGUAGACCUCUUCACUUGUAAAUGAGAGGUCUUAGGUUCGAUUCUCGUCAAAUGCAAAUUUGACCCGCAUUAUUACUAGCUCAUUGUGAGGCUAAGCCUACCCCCUCCUCCAAGGCCACCCCUCCCCUUUAGUAUAGAUAAUAUCAUUUGUGAAAAAGCUUAUGUUGUGCUUAACUAUUAGUGUAUGCCAUUUAUGUUAGAUCCCACAAUCCUUGGCCGGAAGUGUGCCGACGAAGACGUCCGGCCCUUAAGGGGGGUGAAUUGUUAGAUCCCACAUUACCUAGGGGAGUGGAUCCUCUAUGCUUUAAAUGUACAUGCCCACCUCCAUAUAACACGAAGCCUUUUGGGAGCUCACUAGCUUCGGAGUUAAUCGGAACUCUGAAGUUAAGCGAGUUUGGGCGAGAGCAAUCUUAGGAUGCGUGACCCAUUGGGAAGUUCUUGUCUGAGCUCCCAGAAACAAAAACUAUGAGGGCGUGGCCGGGGCCCAAAGCGAACAAUAUUAUGUUGCAGCGGAGUCGAGACUGGGAUAUGACAAUUUGGUAUCAUAACCAAUCCUUGGCAGGAAGUGUGCCAAUGAGGACGUCGAGCCCCUAAGGGGAGUGGAUUGUUAGAACCCACAUCGCCCAAGGGAGUGGAUCAUCUAUGCCUUAAAUGUACAUGCCCACCUCCAUAUAGCACGAGGCCUUUUGGGAGCUCACUAACUUCAGGGUUCAUCGAAACUCUGAAGUUAAGUGAGUUCGCGCGAGAGCAAUCCUAGGAUGGGUGACCCACUGGGAAGUUCUCAUGUGAGUUCCUAGAAACAAAACCGUGAGGGCAUGGUCGGGGCCAAAAGCGGAUAAUAUCGUGCUACGACGAAGUUGAACCCAAGAUGUAGUAGAGCCCGGGUCGGGAUGUGACAAUUUGCCAAGAUUUAAAGUCAAUAAGUCCUGAUUAGUGCUAAUGAAACAUGGUUUAUAAGCCAUAUUAAGUCCUUUCUCUUUCAGAAACCCACCAACCCACCCUUUCGUGCCUAUUUGCUAAUGUAGUCAAAUCAGUGAACUUGCAAGCAGAAAAUCUGGCGGCUAAUAAUUUCAAUAUUGAUUUUACAUUUGAAAAGUUUUGAAGGAGUUUCUCAAAAUGUCCAAAUAAUUCAUUAGAGACGCUAGAUUUAUCUGAUUGUGGUAUGCAAAGCCAACUACUAGCCUCCUUAGGAUUAGGAAUGUUUUGCAUAAUCUCAACCUUAUGUACAAUAAUUUGUGGAGCUCAAUUCCAGAUUUCAUCGAAAACUUGUCAUCCUUGAUAACACUAGACCUCUCUUCUAAUAAUAUGAAGGGCUCCAUUCCACAAAGUAUUGGGCAACUCUCUCAGCUAGUUUCCCUCGAUCUUUUUGGUAAUUCAUGAGAAGGUAUUCUAACAAAAACCCAUUUCAUAAAUCUUACUAGAUUGCAAGAUUUUCAAAUAGGAGAUACAAAGGGACCAAUAUCUCUCUUGUAAGGACUAAUAAUGAUCUUGUCUAUAUCCAAUAUGAAAACAAGUAACACAAUGAUCAAUAUAAAAUCAAAAUAGUGGAUUAAGUACCACCUAAUCAUCUGUUUUCAUGAGGAUCGAACAGACCAUUAUCUUGGCUAUUCAUAAAUUAUAUGGUCACUCGCUGUUAAACGUGAUAUUGACGAUGAAGAAUAAAUGAAUAUUUUUUGUAAGAAAUAACUGCGAACAUGUGGUUGCAACGAACUCUCUUCCUUUGGGAGGGACAUGGCAUAAAACAAGAGCAGUGAUUGCGAUGGGCCUAUUGGAGUAACCAAGUCACCAAUGGCAAAGGAAAUGGGAAGCAGAAGAAGACAUAAACGUAGACGCCAGACGAGACUUAUUUGAGCACCAUCCCAUGAUCCCAUCAACAACGGACCGACCCAGCUCAGACAAGCGACUACACGUUUAACAGCUGCAUAAAUGCAUAUAAAUGCAUAUGCCCUUAUUGUUUUUCCUCCUAAUACAUUCUUAAAUCUACCAUAUAUAUGUGCUUGCUUGAUUGUUUUCUAUUGUUUUUCCUUUGUUUUCAUGAAAGCAAAACAGAAGCAAUUCAUUGUGAUAGCAGCCUAGGCCUCGUUUGGCAUGCGUAAUUGUGCUAUUUAAUUCGAAUCCGGAGGUUUGAUCCCACAUCUUAAAAACCUCCCCAUUUUUCUCUAAUUCACUCUUGUUAGCAUCGUGUGUGUAUGUGUGUGUGUGUAUAUAUAUAUAUAUAUUAUUGCUGAAUUCCUAUCCCAACACUGAAAUUUUGAUUGCAUUUUUGUAUUUUUGUUUUCUGUUUGGUAUUAAAUUUAUAGAGGCAGACAGGCAGAGGUGGCAGAGGAGGAGGUGAACACGAGCUAAUAAUAAUUUGGAAUAAUUGAUAAAAGAAAAGGAUGGAGCUUAAGCAGCUGUUCGUGACGGCCUUAAUUCCGGUGUUGAAAGUGCUUUCGAUAACAGCACUUGGCUCAUAUCUUGCUCUUGAUCGUGUCAAUAUUUUGGGGGAAGUUACUAGAAAGAACUUAAACACUGUAAAAACAAUACACUGCUUCUUCAUUCAGUCUCUUGUGCUCUAAACCCUCCCCAUUUAAUUUAAUUUCUCGUGUUGGACUGUUUUCUUACAAAUAUUUAUGUUUUGUGAACCAAUGAACGAACAGGUUGUAUUUUAUGUAUUCGGUCCUGCUCUGGUGAGUUCCAACGUUGCGCAGACAAUUACAUAUCAAAGCAUGGUUAAAAUGUGAGUUCUAAUUAAGUUGUUUAAUAUAUAUAUAUAUAUAUAUAUAUAUAUGUAUGUAUGUAUAUAAUCAUGUUAACGUUGUAAUAAUUAUAUUGUGUAUAGGUGGUUCAUGCCAGUGAAUAUCCUCAUCACAUUUAUAAUUGGUUCCAUACUCGGAUGUCUUCUCAUCCAAUUAACAAGGCCACCUGCCCAUCUGCGAGGCCUUGUCUUGGGUUGCUGUGCUGCAGGUAAUCCAACACCUAAUUCUAAAACACAGCUGAUAAAUAUUCGGUUUUGCGUUUUAUCAAUCUCCAGAUAUGCUGAUGUUAACACUUAAUAGGUAAUUUGGGUAUGAUGCUCCUCAUUAUAGUCCCAGCAGUCUGUAAAGAAAAAGGGAGCCCAUUUGGAGCUCCUGAUGUCUGUCACAUGUAUGCCAUGGGUUAUGCUUCGCUCUCAAUGGCGGUACAUUUCCUUCUCCGUCUUGUUCCAAUAUUUUGGUUUUCUUGAAAUUCCUUUAUCUAGCUUUCUAUGACUCGAAUUAAGAAAGGAUUGGGAAACUGCUUCAAAUAAGUUACAAUCCAAUUCUCUCAUUCAAGUCGAAAAUGCGCAGUUACUGCAAUUUGAACUCACGAUUUUAAUUUUUAUUAUUAUCAUCAUAAGUUUCAUCUCAUGUCUAGAACAUAUACAUACAAAUUGUACUACCCCCAAACGGCCAGGGCCAGUUCUUAAACGGUGUUUGUGUGCGCCUGCUUGCUGUGUAGAAUACGUUUUUCUGAACACAUUUUCUUUUGUCCUUCUUUUCCUCUUGAAUUCUGGUGACUGUUUCUCUUCAAUACAAUGUAGCUACCUUGUUCAGCUGUCAGGGAUUCCUAUCUUUGCCUUUUGUAAUGUAAUUGUGUCCAUGCUUCAGGUAGGAGACUUUUAUGUGUGGUCCUAUGUGUAUAAUAUUGUGCGGGUAUCUUCAAGAAGGGGCAACCAAGAUUAUAAUCAGUCCGCCGAGAGGUCCUCUACAUCCGACCAAGUAAGUUGCACUGAGCCUCUGCUAUCUUCAAAGGAAUGUCAUAGUUGAGGAAAAUCCGGAUCAAUAUGCACUGUCAUACACUGCUGUACCUGAAGAAAAAUCAAAGGUGUUGGAGUUUUGAGCCUCCUUUAGUCCCACAUCGGGGAACUCAAGUUCCCUAGAGGUCUUUAUUUUAGGUUAGUCACCUUUAUUAGUGAUUAGGUAUUAGACCAUUUGGAAUGAGAAUUGAGAUUUGGACCACUAAAUAUGUGGACUUGAUGAUUAUACCAUAAUAUUAAUAUAAUUAGUAUUAAUUGAUCAAGACAAGGCCCUUGGUAUUUGAAGAGCUAUGAAAUUUUGAAGAGUUGUGCGGUUUUAGAUACAUCCAAAAGGUAUUUGAAGAGUUAUGAAAUAGCCUACAUAACUAAAAACUCAGUUCCAUCGUAAAUCAUAUUUUUCAUUUCCUAUCUCUCCCAUACAAUAUUGAGAAAAGAAAACUAGAGUACACAACUCUAACAUAAAUGUUGGUUAGAGAGACAACACAAGUAAACAAAUUACUUGUAUUACACGCACAAAAUAUUACUUGAAUGUCAUUUGAAUAUAUGGUCUAGAUUCACAAGCUCACAUGUAACAUGCCGGACAUCUCCAACGAGAAAUUUACCCUGUUUCUUUUCAAUUUCUUACACUGCAUAUCUUUGUUGUUUUCCAUGGCAGGCAACGACUUCAGGUAAACUAGAGCAACGAAUAGUGAUGGUCUUUCAAAAGAUGAAUCUGAAAUCAAUAUUUGCCCCUUCAACUAUUGGAGCGGUAUGCCCUUUCUGCACUUUUCCGAUUAGAAGAUGCGACUAUGGGACAGAGGUUCAGGGCCGAAGGGGUAGAGGAAGACCUAGGAAAACUUUGGAAGAGACUCUAAGAAAAGACUUAGAGUACUUGGAUCUAACGGAGGACAUGACACAGGAUCGAGCACAAUGGCGUUCUAAGAUUCAUAUAGCCGAUCCCACUCAGUGACUUGGAUUUUCCAAGUCUCCAAUCGAGAAGUUUUCCUCACUCGGGAAAUUAAGGGAACACUACCCCAACCUACAUGCUCCACUCAGAAAGCUUCAACAUACAAGCUUCAACAAAAGAAAAUUCAAAGAACUUAGCGAAGAAGGCUUUGGUGUAUUUAACACAAUACGUUGAAAUGAAGGAAAGCUUAUUUAUUGAUAUCCCCGAUCAGCUACAAAUAUGUACAUAUACAUGAGUCAAAAUAAACACACACAAGACGGAGCCUUCACAAAGGUUGCUUAGGAGAAGUCUCAGCAGUCGGUAGAGCCCCAGAAAGAGAAGGCACCGGAGGGGGAUCAUUUGGAGCCUCAAUACUGGACAGAACCCUAGAAGGAGGAGGCAUCAGAGGUUGAUCAUUCGGAGCUUCAUUACGCGGUACAGCCCCAGAAGACGAAGGCAAUAAAUGCCUUUGGAACAAACCCACAAAUCUCUGAUGAUCAAGUAAAACCUGACCAUCAGUUUCCUUCAUCUGGUCAAGCUUCCUCUUCAUGUUUGUAGCAUAGUCAUGUGCGAGCCGGUGCAACUGUUUAUUCUCAUGCUUGAGCCCUCUAAUCUCCUGUUUGAGACUCAUCACUUCAGCCGCCAAGGAUUCAACUUGGCGGGUUCGAGCAAAUAGGCGUUGGGCCAUAUUAGACACAGAACCUGCACACUGAACACUGAGAGCCAGCGAAUCCUUAACAGCUAACUCAUCAGACCGUUUGGAAAGUAGUCUGUUAUCUUUGGGAGUGAGAAGGUUCCUGGCCACCACCGCAGCGGACAUAUCAUUCUUCAUCACGGAAUCCCCAACGGUAAGAGGACCAGUAGGAGAGACGAAGGAUGGGCGCCAUAUGUUGUCUGGAGAAGGCGGGGCUGCCUCUUCAACAAGGUUCAAGUCAAAACGACGGUCGGAGGGGCCAGACAUUUUCAAAGGUGUUGAAGAUAGAAGAGGUCGGACAAAUCAAGAUCUUAGAAGUGCAAGAAUGAAGCUUCUACUGGUGGAGAUUCAAGUGUGCUUUGGAACUUAAUGUCAGCCUCUAUAAAAAUCUGCACUCGACGGAGCUUCGGAAAUCGAAGAGGCGCCUGCUCAGAAAUCGAAGAGGCGUUUGCUUUCUCAAAAGCUGGGCUGCUUAGAGAUCACGAGGGUUGAUCUCAGAAAUCGAAGAGGCGUUUGCUUUCUCAAAAGUUGGGCUGCUCAAAGACCACGAAGGCCGAUCUCAGAAAUCGAAGAGGCGCUCGCUUUCUCAAAAGCUGGGCUCCCCAGAGACCACGAGGGCCGAUCUCAGAAAUCGAAGAGGCACCUACUUUUCCAGCCUUGUCAGCACCCGUCACACGCACACUCAGCUUUGCAGAAAUUAUGGGCAUUCUGUCGAAGACUUCUGGGGAAGUAGAAAACACAUGAAUCUUACUGUUCAAUCACCCACUUCCCACACGCAACAAUAGCUCAUGGGUACCACAGAUAACUUUGCCAAAGUUCUCUGCCAAAGUUGAGCACGUGAAGCUUGCAGCUCCCACUACAUCGCUCUGACCAAGAAAGGUAAAAGAAUAGCAAAGAAACAGCACUAACAAAGUUUAGACACAUAAAUUUUGAAGGUCUAGCUACCAUAUUAUUACCCACAAGGGUAAAGGAACAGUACCACUGCUGGAUAAUUGGAAAGUCCCUGUGUGUCAACCUCUGUGCUUCGUGGCAAUGUAGACUAGCAAACAUGCCCAACCUUUACUCACUUUCGAGAAAACACUCCCAACAAGAUUGCUUGCUCCAAAAUCGAAGAGGCACCGUCCUCCGAAUCUCGAGAGCCAGACUCCCAACAUGACUACUUUCUCAAAAGCGAAGAGAGGGUAAAGGAACAGUACCAUUGCUGGAUAAUUGGAAAGUCUCUGUGUGUCAACCUUUGUGCUUCGUGGCAAGGUAGACUAGCAAACAUGCCCAACCUUUACUCACAUUCGAGACAACACUCCCAACUGGAUUGCUUGCUCCAAAAUCGAAGAGGCACCGCUCUCCGAAUCUCGAGAGCCAGACUUCCAACAUGAUUACUUCCUCAAAAAUCGAAGAGACACUGCUCUACGAAUCUCGAGAGCCAGACCCCCAGCAUGAUUGCUUUCUCAAAAAUCGAAGAGGCAUCGUUCUCCGAAUCUCGAGAGCCAGAUACCACAGACCACUUUUUCAAAGUGCUCUGACAGAGUUAAAACAUGUGAAACUGGCAGCUCCCACUACCGUGCUAUGACCAAGCAGGGUAAAGGAAUAGCAUUACUACUUGUUGUUAGGGAGACUCCUAUAUAUGUCGACCUCCAUCCCCAACGGACAGGCAGACCUGCAAAAAUGCUCAACCCUUCAUCAUAUCUGAGAGGGCACUCCCAACGAAGCCUUUCGAAAUAUUCAGCUUUCUUUCCCCCCGAUAAUACCUCUGCAAACAAGCUAUACUAGAGCAAGAAUAUCUCAUAUCAUCAGGGUUAAAAGCAAGAGUAUCCCAUAUCAUGCUUUUUCCCUGUCUUUUCCUUUGGCCUUGUUUUUACCUGCAAGACAAGGAGAAAGAGAGCAAUCAGUCAGCACUUGGAUCAAGCUUCCAGCCAAGAACUGACUGCCUGGAACCCCUUACCUGAUUACUUACCUGGCAUUGCUCUCGAGUACUCAUCUUCAACAUCUUAUGUUUCCAGGGAAGAUUCCGCAUCUACUUGAGGAACAGAUAGGGCAAGUGCGAAGGAUACAAGGAAGCAUGUGGAGACAAGCGUAACAGCACACGUGCCGAUACACCCAUUACUCUGUCAAAAGCAAAAGUAUCCCAUAUCAGCAGGGUGGAACGUACUCUAGAUUUGAUGGACUUGUUUUGACCCUCAAAUUCUUCAGUCGGCCUUAUACUCUGGAGGAAACCAGAAAACCCUCCAGCUCAGUUCAAGAAUAAGCCUGUGGAAAGUUACUUCUUCAAAAGCAAAAGUAUCUCAUAUCAUCUCUUCUCAUUUUUCUUCUUUUUAUCCUUCAUGCUGCUGCAAGAUGGGGAGAAGGUGAACAAUCAGUCGGAGCUCUGAUUGCUUACCUUGUCUGUCACCUCUUUCAGCAGACCCCCUAGCUCGGCGACUUGGGAGACUCCUACUACAUGGUUUGUAUCGCGCUUGACCAAGCCUGAGACUACAAGUAAGCUUCAAGUGAAAUUGAUACAUUACCUUGUGCAUCUCCACCAGUUAAAGAUACCACCCCUGGAUGGAGGAAGAGUACUUCCAGAGAAGAUGCCACAUCUACCUAUGAGACAGAUAAGGCAAGUCAAGACGACAUCACACUCCGAUACUUAGAAGUUUCGUGAUUACGAGAUCAUUCUCCCACAAUAUUUCCUAAUGUCAUUUGUACUAAAUCAUUCACUUGUACUCACUAAAGGAAAGCUUGAACCUAUGUACUUGUGUAAACCCUUCACAAUUAAUGAGAACUCUUCUAUUCCGUGGACGUAGCCAAUCUGGGUGAACCACGUACAUCUUGUGUUUGCUUUCCUAUCUCUAUCCAUUUAUAUACUUAUCCACACUAAUGACCGGAGCAAUCUAGCGAAGAUCACAAAAAGCGACCGUUUUCGCUACCUAGGAUCUAUCUUGCAAGAGAACGGAGAAUUAGAUGGAGAUCUCAACCAUAGAAUACGAGCUGGAUGGAUGAAGUGUAAGAGUGCAUCUGGCAUGUUGUGUGACCGUCGUAGGUCACUGAAGCUCAAGGGAAAAUUUUAUAGGACGGCAAUAAGGCCAGCGAUGUUGUAUGGCACAGAAUGUUGGGCGGUGAAGCAUCAACACGUACACAAAAUGGGUGUAGCGGAGAUGAGGAUGCUUCGUGGGAUGUGUGGGCACACGAGAAAGGAUAAGAUUGGGAAUGAGGAUAUCCGAGGUAAAGUAGGAGUAGCCGAAAUUGUAGGAAAGAUGAGAGAAAAUCGGCUCCGAUGAUUUGGACAUGUGCAAAGAAGGCCGACUGACGCUCCGGUUCGAAGAUGUGACUACGGGACAGAGGUUCAGGGCCAAAGGGGUAGAGGAAGACCUAGGAAAACUUUGGAAGAGACUCUAAGAAAAGACUUAGAGUACUUGGAUCUAACGGAGGACAUGACACAAAACCGAGCGCAAUGGCGUUCUAGGAUUCAUAUAGCCGACCCCACUUAGUGGGAAAAGGCUUUGUUGUUGUUGUUGUUGUUGUUGUUGUUAAGCAAACUUGAUCUUUUCCUGGUGUAGCUCAUUGGUUUUGCAAUCGGAGUCAUCCCUCAGAUUCGAAAAUUACUUUUAGGAGAUGGUGCUCCUCUACGGGUGAUUCAAGAUACUGCUAAUUUGUUGGGGUAUAAAACUUAUGCCCGAACUGUAUCGAACCUUAAUGUUUUAUCCAUGAUCGACGCAAUUAUUGGCAACUAAUAUAGCUUCCCGUUCUUAAUACAGUUACAUGCUAGGGAAGAUACUAACCAUGCUUGGUCCUAUAGUUGUACAUAUCCAAAUGAACAAUUUGGUUCUCAAUUAGCAUAAAAGUAGAAUAAUUGUCUCGUGUUAAUCCCAACUUUACAAAACAUAUUCAGACCAGAUGGUUUUUGAAUUUCGGCUCAAAAGACGAGUGUGUUUUUUUAUACGAAGUGUUUGUAUCAUUUUUGUUGUUCACUUGGUAUCAGUUAAAGAGACUUGUUCUUUAUGAUUGCAGAGACGGAGCCAUCCCAUCUCUCAUUUUGAUAAUAGGAGGAAACCUACUUAAAGGUAAUAACUCGUACAAAUUCUAUUAGUGUCGUACUUAAUUGUUGGUUUAGUUCAGAACUUACUUCACAUUGUUGUUUCAGGCUUGCGAGGGUCAGGGAUUCAGAAAUCUCUUGUCGUUGGCAUCAUAGUUGUUCGUUAUGUUGCCCUGCCUCUUAUAGGCGUCUUGGUUGUUAAAGGGGCACUGAAAUUGGGUUGGUGCACUCUGAUCCAUUAUAUCUGUUUGUUCUUCUGCUUCAGUUUUCACUCCCACCUGCGAUGAACAUAGGUACGCUUGCUCUUCGACUGUUUGGCAACAAAAAGUGCAAUCAGAAGUUGCUCGCUCGCUCGCUCACACUUUUUCAUAACUAAUGUAAGUUUAUUCUCAAGUAUUGUUUAUUGAUCCUUUAAAAUAUGGCAGGAAUAAUGACGCUAUUAUUUGAAGCUGGAGAGAAUGAAUGUUCAGUUAUCAUGCUGUGGACUUAUGCUUUCGCUUCACUGUCAAUUACAUUCUGGUCCGCCGCCUUCAUGUGGCUUGUCGCGCGACUGUGAAUCAAAAUUUUACAUUGAAUUCUGUCUAAUUAAUACAAGAGUAGGCAAUUUGUCAGAAGAAAUAUUACGAAGCUCCACCCCGAGUCUGCAGGGAAGUACGAAGCUCUCAGUUCAGUUCCUCCCCGUCAUUGGAUUGAACAUGCAGAGCCACGGUUUGACUCCACAGCCCACCUAGAUGACGAAUCUAGUGGUUUGUGGCUAUGAUUUGGUCGAAGUAAAAAUGGUGGUGACUUUUCUUGGUGGUUUAGAGAGAAGGCAGAGAGAGAGCUCGAGUGUUAAGAACUCAAGAGAGAGUGUGUCUCGGUGUACAACGAGGGAAGGAGAUGGGAGUGACCGAGAGUUGGGAUUAAAACCCACUUAAAAUUUCCCUCUACAUAACAAAAACCAGUAGAGCCUUAAAUUACCAGAAAAGUGAUUAAUUCAUGUUGGAAUUUUUGGAUCGUCGGGGCCGCCCCACUCUAACGACACUGAUAUUAUCCCCAACUUAAUCAUUUGCCCAAUCCGUCAAGUGUGGGAUUUUACCACAAAAAACUUCGAUGUUAGUUAAAGUAGAGUAAUACUAUUUAAGUGAUUAAUUCUUGUUGAAAUUUUUGAAUCGUCGGGGCCGCCCCACCCUAACGACACUAAUAUUAUCUCCAACUUAAUCACUUGCCCAAUCCGUCAAGUAUGAGAUUUUACCAUAAAAAACCUCGAUGUUAGUUAAAAUAGAGUAAUACUAUUUAAACCUCUUUGGUUUAUUAGUUAGAGUGAGGUAAUUCUAUUUAAACUCUUUGGUUUUUCUUGCACCAUACCAAGUUGGAAUUUUUGGAUCGUCAGCCUGCUCCACUCUAAUGACACCGAUAUUAUCCUCAACUUAACAACUGCCUAAUCCGUCAUGAGAUUUUAGCAUAAAAACGAGUGGGGUAAUAAUAUUUAAACCUCUUUGGUUUUCCUUGCACCCACGAUGUGGGACUUUAACGAUUCAUGAAUUAAAAUUACUCAAAACUACAAUUUCAAGCCACUACAUUGCUACAAGCUUCAAAAAACCAGAAGAAAAAAAAAGGUAAAAUAAACAUCAAAAACCACUUCUAACCAAUAUAAUCACAGGUUGAAUGUUUCAACAACGCUAAAACACAGUAGGAUUAUAAAACAACAAUAUUUUUCAUAUAUUAAAAAAAAAAACAACUAUUAUUUAUUUAUUAAUUCCUAGCUCAACAAAAACUAAACUUUCGGGAAAAUGCAGAGUAAAAUAUAGGAAAGCUAACCUUUUGGCGCUUAGCUCUGGGUUCAUGAUCAAGCUUGGACCCUGGACCUUUGGAAGCCAUGGCUUCGGGUCGUCUGAUCCAGAAAACCAGUGGAUCUGGACAGUACGAUCAACGCCAGUGUGCUCUCUUCCCUUCCUGUAUCUCUCUCUCUCUUGCUCUUUUCUCUUUUCUUUUUGUGUUUUGUUUGUCUGUGACUGAGGACGCCCACCAACCUCUGAUGAAG
RNAcentral lists this long non-coding RNA (46395 nucleotides) under Malus domestica (apple). The record is from RNAcentral. Lineage: Eukaryota; Viridiplantae; Streptophyta; Magnoliopsida; Rosales; Rosaceae.